AGAAAUAAAAUCACCUGGAGCGCUAAUUGGGGAGAAGAUUUUAGCUGUUUUAAGAGCUCAACAACCGCAGAACCAUCUGCAUACCUCCUAAACAACAAAACCCCUCUAUCUGCUAAUAUUCUCUCAAUCUUUUCAGCAUCACCACUGCAAGCUAGCAACUCAUCCCUUAAAUGUGAAACCCUUUCUCUCAGAUCCUGUUUGACCAAUGAAUCAGCGUGACUCCACCUGUCUGCGAACAAAGCAAAUACCUGUGACCAGGCAGGUUGGGAAGAAGCUGCUCCGCCUGCUAGUCCUCGAACCCACAACGUAUUAGCUGAAGCUCGUGCAAUCGUGUAACACCAUGAAUGUUUUCUAUAAUUUUCAGAAAAUCUUUGGAGAAUUGCUUCCGUCUGGGAAGCAUCCGAGAUUCUCCAUACCCUCUUCAUCAUUGACAGCUAGGUAAAGUGGUACCCUAAUUUACAUAUAAUUACAAUAGUGUCAGCCAACUUGAGGUUUUCAAAAUGUUAAAUCAGCUCAUUCAGCAGCUUAGUUAACAACAUCCAUAACAUCAAAAUCAAAAUCCAACUUCUAAAAUUUCAAAAGCAAUUUUCUAUCCAGACGAAACCAUUUCAAAACUCGCAAGAAAAAAUAUUCUCUAUCCAAGCAAAACAAUUUGAAAGCCCAAAAAUCUGGAAGAUAAAUGACACCGAAGAAUCAUAUGAUAUAUAGAAUAUUGAAUGCUUCGUAUUUUAUGGUCCAUAAAGCAUACAUCAUAUACAAUCAAGAUUCGCCAUACCCAUUUAUCAAUGCCAUGUUUUUCAAGGGUUUAUCGAGUGCAACUAUUUUGAUUAGGAAAAAACAUCCAAAAUAAUUAACUCAAUAAAACAUUUCAAGAUUUUUUCUGUAGUUAUUUUAUAUCCAGACAAAAAAACAAAUUAAACCCCACAAACAAACCACAAAAAAAAAAAAAAAAGCAGAUAAUGACUUUUUUUACAAACUACAGAUAAAAGAGAAUCAGAGGAAAGGAGGAAAAAAGAGGGUUAAACGUACAACUGAAUUUCGUCUGAGCGCUUAUCAGUCAGCUCGGUUAGGUUUUGGAAAAUUUGAUUCGGUAUUUUCGGUUUCGGUUUCUACAAAACUCUAAACUGAAACCAAACCAAAUUAAAUUCGGUACAAUUAAGUUUUUCUCUUUCGGUUUUGAUUUGUGCGAAUUGGUAACUUAGCUAUGUAGGGCUUGGGGUUUAGUUGAGCCUUUUCAAAUUUGGGCAUCUCCAAACCAAAUGCCUACUGCUUGCACAGAAACUAAUUACUACAAUAUGUGAGUGUUAAAAAUUUGAAGGAAUGUUCUCAACCAACUUAUCUUGUUCUUUUUAUAGGUAAUGUCACAGUGUUAUUGAUGUAAACACAGCAUUAGGAAAUGCUGAAGAGGUGUAAAUCCAAGUAUACCUGCUCCGGCGAUUGGUGAACGGCUGGCGGAGUGGCGGAGUAGCUGGCACUCGAUAUCCGAGGCUGGACUGGCGGAGCAGCGGCGGUGAAUGUCGAGAAAAAAGAGAAGGUCGAAGCUUUUCUUUUUCUAUUUUCCGCUUCAAAAGGUGAAGUUACAACUUACAAAUCCUAAAGGCCAUAUUAGGAGAAAAUGACAAAACUGGUCCCUUAUGUUUUCGGUUGGUGUAAAUUAGUCUUAUAUAGUAUAUUUUAGCAGUUGUAGUCCUUAUGUUUAUCAAAACUUAGCACUGUUAAUUUUUCAUAUAUUUAUAACACGACGGUAGCCGUAUUUGACAGAAUUAGCAUCUGAACCGUUUAAAUUAAAAAAAAAUAUUCAUAGUCGAAAAAUGACGGUAGUCAUAUUUGACAGAAUUAGCAUGUGAACAACAUCUGAACCGUUUAAAUUGAAAAAAAAUAUUCAUAGUCGAAAAAUUACGGUAGUCAUAUUUGACAGAAUUAGCAUGUGAAUAGUAUCUGAAGCGUUUAAACUGGAAAAAAACAUUCAUAGUCGAAAAAUGACGGUAGUCAUAUUUGACAGAAUGUGAAUAGCAACUGAACCGUUUAAACUAGAAAAAAACAUUCAUAGUCAAAAAAAAGAUACUUUUUAUUUAUUUUUUCCAAUUUAUACCUUAGAAAAAAAAAAAUUAACUGCAAGAUUUGAGCAACAAAGGGUGCUAUUGAGAGUUCGCAUAAGAUACAAAUGUUGAUUCAUUUGCUAUUUUAUAUAAUUAAGAAUCGAAAGGUGAAAGGUGUAUUUAAUUGCCAUGAAUAGGAUUUUCUUAAGGUUCAAAUUAGGAAAAUGAAUUCGAAAAUGCUCUGUCACAAUGAUGACGACUUGUAGUAGUAAUUGACUGGUAUCCAAUGGGUGAAGUAAAGGAAUUGACUAUUUGCUAUGGAUGGGGGAGGAGGUUUCUUUCUUCUUUUUCUAAAGCAAGAAUCUAUAAGUUGACAUGUACAUAAAAUUACGGUAUUGGAUAUGAUGUUCAAAGAAAAUCAGACAAAAAUAGUGAAUACACACAUUUAGAUGUAUAUUUUAAAUAUAUAGGUAUCACAAAAACUGCGUACAAAGGCAAAAUUAAGACUCUUCAGGAGCUCGCUUACGACGAGGCACUCGUAAGACGGUCUAAGACAUGCGUGGAGCUCUUGUCUUGUAAAAUACACGCCCAAUGCACGAGGCUCAUUCCAUUACUUUAGUUUAAUCAAGUAUAAUUAGCCUUGUAAAUCCAAAAGUUUCUUUACUAAAUCUGAACAAUUUAAGAGCCAUCAUUCGAUCAUAAAUUAGACGUUGAUAACAAUGCAACUAAAAAUUGUGUCCUAAUAUUGAAUUUUUUGCGCUAAGAACACUAUAAGGUGUCGUUUGGUUUGAAUACGACUUAAUUCGGGAUAAGUUAUGCUUGGAUAAAUUAUAUUGAGAUUAGUUAUGCUGUGAUUAGUUAUCCUCGUAUUGUUUUUAUCCGAUCCACUGUCUGGUAUGUGGUAUUAAAAAUGACAAUUGCAUAAUUUGUAAGGAGAAUGUAUAAGUUAUCCCGACACUAAUUACCCCACCCUCUACAAAGUAUAAGUUAUUCCGGUACUAAUUUUAAUCCCGAAAUAAUUUAUAUCAGGUUUGCUAAUCAAACAAAGUAUUAAGGUGGUAUUAAAUUUUUAUACCAGCAAUAUACCUUCUUAUACCUCGUACCAAAUGACCCCUAAGGGUGAAUUUUGAUGGAACCUUUCAAUCAGGAAAAAAUAGUUAUAGCUAAAAUGAUCACUUACUGUGGACCAUAAGGAGUAUUAAUCAGUUGGAAGCACAUGUAAUUGUUAUUAUUCCUGUAAGUUUAAAUAUCAUAUUUUUUACUUAUUGUGGAUUAGAGGGAGUAUUAAUCAGUUGGAAGCAUAUGUAAUUGUUAUUAUUCCUGUAAGUCUAAAUAUCAUAUUUCUCACUUAUCUAACACUUAGAUUGCAUCUCAAACAAGGAAUUUAGUAAUGUAAAUAUUAGUUUUUAAAACACUAAAUGAUUAGAGUUACUCGAUACACGUACAUGUGGGAGGUGUAAAAUAGUUGAGGUAUACGUAAGUUGGUUUGUACACGACUCGUAGUAGUAUUAAGAAAGUGUGCCUCGACUCAUCUACUUCUCCGGAAGUAGAUAUAACACAUUGUUUCCAAAAGGAUUCUUGUUUCCUUUUGAUGUUUGGAUUGUUAGGACAUUGUAGUUGAUUCGUAUAUCAUGGAAUUAUACAAAAUUAUUGUAAUUUAUAAAUUAGCAAAAUUUAAAAGAUUCAUGGGUUUACACUGCCAUGCCUACGAGCUUAUAUCUCUCUCUGUGUCCCCGUCUUUUAAUGCACCAUGUCAAAUAUUAAAAUUUGAAAUGUGUCAUUUUAGCAUUUCAAUUAUUUUUUUACAUCUUCAAAAAUAUAUUCGUAAUUUUAGCAAUUCUUUAGUGGAUAGGUUAUAAAGCAUUCUAGGGAAAAAAAAUCUUAAGAGACAAUACUGCUUUAUUUCAAUUGAGUUUGAAUGCAUGUUCAGGAGAUAUACUUAUGAACCAAUGAAAGUAUUUACUCGAUUAAAGCAUGCAGUAUUAGACAAAGAAGACGACAUAAUUAAGAAAAGUAGAAUGUAAAGAAUCUCGAUAUAAUGAGAACAAUAGAUGAAGAUCUUGAGGAUCUUAAUUAAAUCCCAAAUAAAUAUGUAAUGCAAAUACUUAAAAUAGAAAAAGAUUGAACACACAAUAAACAAAAGCCGAUCAUUUCGGGAAGCAUACGUCAAAUUUUGGCAGAGAAAAUGGAGCUCCUAAAAAUAAGAGAUAAAGGGGAAUGGGUCGAGGGAAUUGUGAAGCAAAGACUUUAUUCCGAGCAUUCGUGGCGCGAGCUAUCGAAGGGCCGAUGAGAGGCCCGUCCUCAUGGUAAAGAGUUUUCUCAAAUGACUUUGACCUAGAAGGUUCGCGCUAUCGAUUUCUAACUUGCUUUUACUCCUUUUUUGCAGGUUUACCAAAAGAUUUUGAGAUAAGGACUCCAUCUGGUGAUGACGAUAUCUUCAGUGAGCCCCCUGCCUCGGGGCAGGAUAAAGAGAAGAAAAGGAAAAAGGCCCCGAGUUCUCAAGGCCCUGAGAAAAAGAGGCCAAAGAAAAGAUUAGCUUGUAAACCCAAGGGAAGCACCAAUGGUAGAGCAUUGUCCCUGGAUUCACUCUAUCGACUGAGGGACGAGUCCGAGGAGGAAGGAGAAGCUUUUGAUCUCGUGAUCAGUAUGUCGUCGCAACUCGAAGGGCAAGGGGCCUCCGAACCAGGGGGCAAGGCCGAAUUUUAUCAUGUCGGGGAGACCGAGGUGGAGGUAGGAGCUGAGGCUUCCCGAGAUGCUGGCAAAGCCCUGCAGGAAGCACUCGACCCGAUAGAGAUUGCCAAGUCACCCUCGUUUACAGAGUCGAUGUUUAACGAGGCCCAGGUUGCAAAAGAACGCCCCCUCGAGAGGAUCCAUAAAUCGAACGACCCCUUCCGUGGUGUUUUUGACGGUGUGGAUUCGACGGCCACGGAGGACGCCAUUGGAUUUGGCGAUUUAGAGAUACCAAGGAAGAGCUCUCUCUCAAAAGCAAGUGGGCCUUCCUCGACCCCAAAAUUGGUCGAUCGAUUCCCUACCCCGAGUGCAUAUCCUAAUCGGAAGCGCACCAUUGUUUUUUCACUUCCGGAGGAUGCCCGAGUUCUCUCUACCCCCAUAGGGGUGGCCAGCUAUCUUCAGUGCCUGGUGACCGAGGAUGAUCAAGCUAAGAUGAACGAGGUGGAUGCAUCCUGCCUUUUCAACGAAGCACAACAGGCGUUGAACCGGGUAACUUCUUGCUUUCCUAAGUGAAUUUUUGAUUUAUACUUCGAUUAUUUCGCAGAUGUUUUAGCAUUUCCCUUCUUGCUCGUAGGCUUCGGUGCUUCAUCACGAGGCUUUUUUGAGGUACUGGGAUGACCUAAAACAACUCAAAGCUGGAGUUCGAGAGCUUAUAAGAACCUCCGUGCCAAGCUAGAAGUGGCCCGGAAGGAUCAUGCUGACUUGGUCGAGCAGGUAAAAGUUUUUGAAGUAAGUGAUGAUGAAUUUGAUUCGGUGGCUGAUGGUCAAAAUCUGCAGGUCCGGCAAAAACUCAAUCGGAUUGCUCAGCUCCGAGCCGAAAUCCAGCUAAGAGCGGCAAAGGAAAGAGCUGAGGUUCAUACAAAAAGGGUUGAAGAGCUCCAAUCUCGGCUCGGUUCGGGCGUCUCAAAUCGAGAUAAUCUGGUCAAGGAACUUAAAAUGGCCAAGUUAGAGGUCAUCGUGGCCAAGUCCGAAGCUGCUGAAAUGGUAGCCCAGUAUAAGGCAGAUGCUGAAGCUGAUCAAGACCAAUAAAAAAAUAUAGCCGAGCAUAUGAAGUGGCAAUCUCAAAGGCAGGCCCUCGAGGAAAUUCACUCUCGGGGUUUUGACUUAUUGGCCGAGAUCAAGGAUGCCAAGGUGCUCGAAGCCGAGGCCAGGAAGUUGGCCUAUCCCAAGGAGGAGGAUUCUAAGGAAUCAAGCAGCUCCGAGGAUGGAGAAGACCCUGGGAAUCCAGAUGACGAUGCGGGCUCCGGCCAAGAUCAGGUGGCUUCUGUUUGAUUUGUUUCUUUUUGUACUUAGUACACUGUGUUGAAGCUGUUCUGCCUUUGUAAAGACAAUAUUUUGUAAAUAUAAAUUUUCCAUUUCUUUUUUAUAACUCUCGAAUUCUUCCUUUGCUUUUCUCUUUAUGUUUUACAAAGAUUAAAAUGCCUUAGCAUUAAUUAGUCUUGUUUGGAAUUCCGAACAGGCUUUUACCUUUGAUAUAAUCAAUCUCUAAGGCGUCGUGGAAUCCGCAUUGUCCGGGAAGUUUUUUCCUAUAACACUUAUACCUUUUAGAAUAUGACUUGUAUAAAGUGUGCUUUGCCUAGGUUUUUAUAAGCUUUUAUAACUUCGGGUUUUGUUAACCCGGGGAUGGCCUUGGCCUUUUAAUUCGGGCAAUGCUAAGUAAGCUUCAUGCCCUCGGGUUUUGUUAACCCUGGAAUGAUCUUGGCCUUUUAAUUCAGGAAAUGUCAAAUAAGCUUCAUGCCCUCGGGUUUUGUUAACCCGGGAAUGACCUUAAGCUUCAUGCCCUCGGGUUUUGUUAACCCGGGAAUAGCCUUGGCCUUUCAAUUCGGGCAAUACCAAAUAAGCUUUAUGCCCCCAGAUUUUGUUAACCUGGGAAUGGCCUUGGCCUUUUAAUUCGGGCGAUGCCUGAGUGGCAGUCCCCGAGUAAGAGUGAAUGUUCGCACUCGGAUUAAGGUGGCCCUUAGGCUCGGCAAUGCCAAAUAGGCUUUUGUGCCCUCGGGUUUUGUUAACCCGGGAAUGGCCUUGGCCUUUUAAUUCGGGUGAUGCCUAAGUGGCAGUCCCAGAGUGAGAGUGAAUAUUUGAACUCGGAUUAAGGUGGCCCUUGGGCUCGAUACCUUUAGGGGAUCGGGUGUAGGAAAUUCCUUGAGAAAUGCAAGAAAAGUUUUAAAGGACAAGAUGUUUAUGUGUAAGGAAGAGUCUUCUUUUUUAUUCUUGUGCACAAUAGUUAUACAUGUAUACAUGUUUUGUGCUAGGGCUCGAGUGGUCUGUGUGGGUAUGGUUCAUUUGACCGUUUGGCCAUUACAAUAAAUCCUAUUGAUCGAGAUCCUUCAAUCACAAAGUUUCUUUCCUUGUUAAAGUCCAUAUCGAAGGGUAUUGCCCCAGUGUUUGGGCCUGACUGAAGAGUGGCCUCGAAUGCUAUUGUGAUCAUUGUCACCGGUUCGUAGCCGGAAUUCAAUUCUAAGUUAUCACGAUUUACUUGUUGCCUCAUUAAAAAUCUUGCCGGAAAAUCUAUUUGGGACAAAUCCGGUUCAAGGGAAAAAGAGUGCAACGCGUGCUUUCAAACCUAGGAUCUCGUAUCAUCCCUUGUUGGUUACCUGCUAGUGUUAGUUUGAAAUGUAAAAAUAAAAGAAAGAAUCGGGGCCGUACUUUAGCAGUAAUAUCGCUUUAAGUGAGUUAUAUUCCGGUUGUUCGUAAUUGCUCGUCGUUCAUUGUUCUGAGCUUGAAGGACCCUUUUACGGUGAUCUCGAUAAUUUGGUAAGGUCCUUCCCAAGUCGGCCCUAAUUUCCCUCCGUUCGGUUUUCGGGUGCUUAGUGUAACUUUUCUUAGUACCAAAUCCCCUGUAUUGAAGUGUCAAAGGUUGGCCCUUCGAUUGUAAUAUCUUUCGAUCCGCUGUUUUUGGGCCGCCAACCGGAUAAGGGUGGCUUCACGCCUUUCAUCUAAUUGCUCCAGGCCCGUACUCAUAGCCUCAUCAUUCGAUUCCUUUAUUUCAUAUCAGAAUCUUAUGCUUGGUUCUCUAACCUCGACUGGUAUUAAAGCUUCGGUGCCAUAAACCAAAGAAAACGGGGUGGCCCCGGUACUGGAUUUCGAAGUUGUACCAUAGGACCUCAGGUAGCAUUUCCUUCCAUUUUCCUUUGGCGUCGGUUAGCCUCUUUUUAAGGCUUUGGAGUAUGGUUUUGUUGGUAGAUUCAUCUUGUCCAUUCCCACUAGGGUGUCGAUAGGAUCUUUUUGAUCUUAUGGUCUUCAAGGAAUUUGGUUACUUUGCUUCCGAUGAAUUAUUUCUCAUUAUCGCAUACAAUCUCGGCCGGCAUGCCGAACCGGUAUAUGAUGUGGUCCCAAAUAAAAUCGAUGACUUCCUUCUCUAUGAUCUUCUCGUAUGCCUGGGCUUUCACCCAUUUAGAAAAGUAAUCAGUCAGAAAUAAUAUAAAUCGAGCCUUACCGGGUGCCCAUGGAAGGGGGCCGACGAUGUCCAUUCCCCACUUCAUGACCGACCAUGGUGAAAAAAUCGAAUGCAACAACUCCCCAGGAUUGAUGAAUCAUUGGAGUGUGUCUUUGGAAUUCAUCAUAUUUUCAAACGAACUACUUUGCGUCUUUUUCUAUGUCCAUCUAGUAGUAACCAACUCUGAUUAUUUUUCGAACGAGUGAUUCGGCGCCCGGAUGAUUUCCACAGGUACCUUCAUGGAUUUUCCUUAAAACGUACUUAGUAUCCCCCAGCCUUAGACAUAUUGCAAGUGGGCCAUCGAAUGUCCUUCUGAACAGGGUUCCGUCUUCGGACAGGCUAAAUCGGACUGCCUUUGUACGUAUGGCCCUCGAUUCUUUUGGGUCCGAGGGCAGUGUUUCGAUCCUGAGAUAUUCCAUGUACUUAUUCCUCCAAUCCCAAGUUAGGCUCGUUGAGUUGAUUUCGGCGUGGCCUUCUUCCACCACAGAUCUCAUAAGCUAUAAGACUUCUCCCGAAUUGAUCUCAUUGUCUUCGACCGAUGAUCCCAAGUUAGCGAGGGCAUCGGCCUCGCUGUUUUGGUCUCGAGGUACAUGUUGCAAAGUCCAUUCUUUGAACCAAUGUAAUAUCACCCGUAACUUGUCCAAGUAUCUCUGCAUUCAUUCCUCCCUGACCUCGAAUGUCCCAUUAACUUGGUUUAUAACAAGGAGUGAGUCACACUUGGCUUCGAUCACCUCUACCCCCAAGCUUUUGGCUAAUUCAAGGCCUGCAAUCAUGGCCUCAUAUUCGGCCUCGUUGUUAGUUAAUUUCAUAGUCUUAAUAGAUUGCCUAAUUAUAUUAUAUGUUGGUGGCUUUAGUACGAUGCCAAGUCUGGACCCUUUUGCGUUUGAGGCGCCAUCCGUAAAGAGGGUCCAGAAUCCCGAGGAAGUCCCCGAGUUAAUCAAUAACUCUCUUUCAACCUCGGGUAUCAGGGUCGGCGUAAAGUCGGCCACGAAGUCUACCAAAAUUUGGGACUUAAUGGUAGUUCGGGGUUGGUACUCAAUAUCGUAACCACUUACUUCCGUGACCCAUUUGGCCAAUCAGCCCGAGAGUUCGGGCUUAUGCAUAACGUUCCUUAACGGGUAAGUUGUUACGACACAUAUGGGGUGAUAUUGGAAAUAUGGUUUUAGCUUCUUGGAGGCGCUUAGCAAGGCGAGCGCCAGUUUUUCUAGGUGAGGGUACCUAGUCUCGGCCUCACCUAAGGUCUUACUAAUAUAAUAAAUUGGAAAUUACGUACCUCGUUCUUCCCGAACUAGGACUCCACUUAUCGCUAUCUCCGAGACCGCCAAGUACAAGUACAGUCGUUCGUCUAUCUUUGGUGUGUGAAGCAGCGACGGGCUCGAUAAGUACCUCUUUAGCUCCUCCAAAGCUCGUUGGAAUUUUGGAGUCCAUGAAAAGUUAUCCUUUUUUUUCAAUAGUGCGAAGAAUCAGUGGCUUUUAUCGGAUGACCUCGAAAUAAUUCGCCCCAGGGCGGCUAUGCGCCCGGUUAGCCUUUGCACGACCUUUACGCUGUCCACGACCAUGAUAUCUUUGAUGGCUUUGAUCUUGUCGGGGUUGAUCUCGAUUCCUCGGUUGGAUACCAUAAACCCGGGGAAUUUAACUGAUCCGACUCCGAACGCAUAUUUUUUCGGGUUCAGCUUCAUAUUGUACUUCUUUAAUAUGCUGAAGGUUUCCUGCAAAUAUUUCAAAUGGUCCUCUGCUCGCAGGGACUUAACCAACAUAUCGUCAAUGUAAACCUCCAUCGAUUUUCUAAUUUUUUUCCUCAAACAUCCGAUUUACUAGGCGUUGAUAAGUGGCACCAUCAUUUUUUAAUCUGAAUGACAUCAUAUUAUAGCAGUACGUGCCAUAUUUAGUGAUGAAAGAGGGUUUUUCCUGAUCAUACGGGUCCAUCUGUAUCUGGUUGUACCCGGAAUAGGCAUCGAGAAAACCGAGGGUCUCGUGGCCAGCCGUGGCAUAGAUUAUGCGAUCAAUGUUGGGUAGAGGGAAAGAGUCCUUGGGACAUGCUUUGUUCAAAUCCUUAUAAUCUACGCACAUUCUAAAUUUGUCCCCCUUUUUAGGGACUACCACUACGUUUGCUAACCAAUCGGGGUAUUUCACCUCUCGAAUGGACGCUAUUUUAAGCAGUUUAGAUACCUCGUCCUUGAUGAAAGCAUGUUUGACCUCGGACUGGGGCCUCCUCUUCUGCUUGACCGGAUUAAUCUUCGGGUUUAUGCUUAUCUUGUGAGUGGUUAUAUCCGAUAGGAUCCCUGUCAUAUCAAGAUGGGACCAAGGGAAACAAUCUAUAUUAGCUACAAAAAAUUGAAUAAGUUUUAUCGUGAGUUCGGGAGCUAACCCUGUGCCCAGGUAUACCUUCCGAUCAGGUAGAUGUUCGAUCAAUAUAACAUGUUCCAUCUCUUCGACCGUGGAUUUGGUUAUGUCGGAAUCAUCGGGGAUUAUAAAAUAUUGGGGAACCCAAUAAUCAUCGUUUUCAUAAGUCCUCUGCUUAUCCGGUUGGACCGCGGUCGGUAUCGGUGACUACUAUUUGGCCUCUUGGUUUGCGCCCAAAUUCUGUUCCUUCGAUGUUGCGAGUGUUGGUAUUGGAAUCACUUCUUCGACUGCAAACAUCUCUUUUGCGGCCGGUUAUUCCCCUUAGAUUUUCUUAACCCCCCCUCCCCCCCCCCCCCCCCAGUGUUGGGAAUUUUAGCACUUGAUGAAGAAUUGCACUGCCCUUAUGUUGUGGAUCCAUAUCCUUCCGAGAAGGGCGUUGUACCUCAUGUCUCCUUCGAUCACAUAAAACUUGGCCUCUCGUAUGGUUCCGGUGGUAUUGACCGGUAAUCUUAUCUCCCCUUUGGUGGUUUCACAUGCCAUGUUAAAAACGUUUAGAACUCGGACCGCAGGCACAAUUUUGUCUUGUAGACCGAGAUGCUCCACUACCCCCGACCGAAUGAUGUUGGCCGAUCUACUUGGAUCAAUCAACACACAUUUAAUUUAAGUUUUAUUUACGAGUACAGAUAUUACCAGUGCAUCAUUGUCAGGUUGCACGAUCCCUUCCGCAUCCUCGUCGCUGAAAGAUAAAAUUUCUUCUGGUAUAUAGUCUCGAUUUCGUUUCUCCCUAGUGAUGGAUACUUUGGUGUGUUUAAACACCGGCCACUAUGGUAUAUCGACUCCACCGAAGAUCAUAUUAAUGACGUGUUGAGGUUCGGUAUCUUCUUGUUCUGUCUGUUUGUUAGAAUCCAUGUUCCUAAAAUGAUUCUUGGCCCGGUCGCUCAAGAAUUCCCGAAGGUGCACAUUGUUGAAUAGUCGGGCUACUUCUUCUCUCAGUUAUCGACAAUCUUUCAUUCUAUGAACAUGAGUCCCAUGAUAUUUGCACAUCCGGUUAGGAUCCCGUUGAGCUGGAUAAGAUUGUAGAGGUCAAGGCCAUUUGGUAUCCUUGAUGCGCCCGAUAGCUGAUACGAUGGUGGCAUCAUCGACAUUAAAGUUGUAUUCUGAUAGCCUCAGUGCUUAUUUAGGCCUGAUGAACCCGUCGAAGCUAUUUUUGGUCAUGAGCCCCCGUUUUUUUCGACCUUGGUCAUUUCUCCUUUCGUUUCUUAUGGGGUUCCGCCCGGACCCACUGCUCAUCCGAUCUCCAUUAUAUGACAAAUAUCGAUCCCUGUUUGAACUUGGUUCACGAUCGAUGUCUCUCUUGACUCUGUCGAGGGUUCUGACAGGAUAAACAGACUCCGAAGGGGCCUCGAGUUGGUCAUCUUUGACUCUGAUUUUCAAUUGAUACUGGUUAUGUACAUCGUCCGAGGUAACGACAUGGUAUUCUAUCAUAUUCUGCUUCAGUUACUGUGAAGCCACCGAGCUUCGAAUAUUGAGUCCCUGAGUGAAAGCUUGAACAACCCAAUCAUCAGCAUCUGGUGGCAGAUCUAUUCGUUCCAUUUGAAAAAGGGACACGAAUUCCCUGAGCAUCUUGUGAUCCUUCUGUUUGACUUUGAAAAGGUCCGAUUUCCUGGUUUCGACCUUGAUGGCACCAACAUGCAUUUUUACGAAAGAGUCUGCAAGUAUAGCAAAUGAGUCAAUAGAAUUAGGAGAUAAGUUGUGAUACCAUAUCAUAGCUCCCUUUGACAGGGUCUCCCCAAAUAUUUUCAGUAGAACAGACUCGAUCUCGUCGUCUUCCAAGUCGUUCCCUUUGAUGGUACAUGUGUAAGAGGUUACAUGCUCGUUUGGAUCGGUCGUUCUGUUAUACUUAGGUAUUUCGGGCAUAUGGAAUUUCUUGGGGAUCAGCUUCAGAGCCGUGCUCGGAAGAAAAGGUUUUUGCACGAACUUCCUGGAAUCCAGUCCUUUCAAUAUCGGAGGUGCUCCUGGGAUUUGAUCUACCCUGAAAUUGUAGGUUUCUACCUUUUUGUUGCUCGAUUAGAUUUUUUUUCCCUGAUUCUAUUUGCUUUGUCAACUUCUCGAGCAUCUUUAUAAUCUCGGGGUUAGUACUUGAUUCUUAUUUAUUUGACCUUACUAUGACCGGUUCAUUUAUGCGGGUGACUUCACGGGGCAGACCUGGUUCAACCCUGCUCGACGCCUGACUUUGGCUCUGCAACUGAGCUAUCGCUACCUGUUGAGCUUGAGCAUUUCGAAGAUCAUCCGUAGGCUGACCCUGUCUUCUUUAUUAUUUUGUGUGUUUCGAGCUGCCGAUCGGGCCCCACCACAGAUGCUAUUUUCGGGGUUGGUAGGCAUGUUUGUGUCGAUAGCCAGAUGUGAAUUAACAUCAAUCAGAUCUGCGAGCGGAAUCCAACGGGAUCAACGGGUGGCCUUACGUUACCAGGCACCAUGUUGUUAUUCUUAUCUUGAUGACCGGAAUCGUUAUCGAUAUGUAGGGGUGCUAAUUAAGAGUUUGGCAUUUUUAGCCUGAAAUCAAAGACACUUCAAAGAGCAAGUGUAAAGUAGUGUGUGUUAUGGAGAUUUGUAUCAAAUAACCACUAAUAUCCUUAGCCCCAUGGUGGCCGCCAAACUGUUUACCCUCAAAAUCGGAUAACAAUUGAAUUUGUUAGUAGUUUAAAGGAUAUGCGGAUUAACUUUAUACAAAGCGAUAAAUUAGAUUGCAAUUGAAAUAAAUAAUAAUAAAUUUACCGUAAACCAUAUGAAUUGGAUGAUUUCAUCUUAUGUAAGCGAGCUACCCUUGAAAUGAAUGCACUUUUGUUGACACAAAGAUACCAAAGAGUAACAACUUAGAGAAUGUAUUGCUUAUUAGUGUAUGUUACAAUGCCCUCAAUGAAUUGUCAAAUCCCCCUUAUAUAUUAGGGGAGAUCUACUAUUUUAGGUAUUAUUUUACUGUUCUAUAAAAGGCAAAAGUCCUUAAUUUGCUGACCGUUGGUUCACUUUUUUGAGUCAUUCCGUGAUAUCUGCCAUAAUGAUUGGUUAAUAGCGAGAAUUACGGAUCUCUAUCGGAUGAGUUGGCAAAGCUUUCUUCGAGACCGUUAAAAACAUGACCGGUUAUGCCUUCGGUAAACUCGAGGGCAAAUCUGAUGGUUUCGAUAGCUAAUUUUGACAAUGCUUUGAGUUCGAUCUCAAUCACCGUGUUUCGAUUUUGGCUGAUUUUGUUGGAUGUUAGAUCGAUCUUCGAGUUCGACUUUACCCGAUCACAUAUAUUUCGAACCUGGCCUAACUAAGGAGUUUUGGAAGCUCGAUCAAAUAUCGAGCUCGAUUUUACCCGUAUUUUUUACCCGUAUACAUAAAUAAUGAUAGAAGUAAAUCAGUAUAUGGAUAAAGUUAUGUUGUUCCCCAACAGAAGAUGUGAAUUUUACGUUUUAGACAGUAUGUGGGAUCUACUUCUCCACCUCCUUGUGACCCACACAGUUCCUAUGCAAUAAACUUUUAAGACUUUCAUGGGUUUAUUUCAAAAUAUUUCUUUGUCGGCAAUAGGAGAAGAAUAUUCUUGAGGAAUUCAGUGCAAAGAGUCAAGCAUCUCAAUACAUUUCGUGAAAAAUGUAAAUAGUGAAGGAGGAGGAAGAAGGAGAAGAAGUUCGUGGAAAUGGAAGCGAUCAUGUGGCGCCAUUGUUGAAUCCUUUUAUCUUUUUUUUAGUUGCGAGUGUUUCGGAUACAACUUUUCUACUCUCUUAUGGUAGAGGUAAGGUCUGCAUACACACUACCCUCUCCAUACCUCACUUGUAGGAACUUACUAAGUCAAAGCGGAGCUAAAAUUUUCUAAAUUAUUAACUUGAAAAUAAUCAAUGAAUUGUUCAAGACAAAUAUAGAGUUUGAACUAUGGGUUUGAAUCAAUAAAACGGCUCCACCCUGCACUGGUUUUGUUGUAGUUGUUGCAUAUGCCGACAUUAAGUCUAUAUUUGCAAAUUUUUUAAAACAAGGACUAUGGCGAGGCUAUGAAACGAUCGGACCUACCAAUUGAAUGAUUUACAAAGAUUUUAUUAGAUUGAGGAAGCUUAUAGCAUUGAUCCAACACAAUUCCCAACUUUAAAAAGCUGGUGUGUGCCUGCUGCGAAGGUAAAAUGACCUUAUCUCCGAAAGAACAUCAAAACAAUGACAAGCUUACAAGCAAUUUUCAUCAAAAAGAACAAAGUUAAAGCAUCACUAAAAAUUCAAAAGCAAGAAGUUGAAGUAAUGCUAUGCCUUGUGACCAAAUGUGGUAAGUUGUUUUAGCCAAAAGGAGCAGUUAGCAGUGCACUUCUAUUAAUAAUAAUAAAAAAAAGACAAUCGGGUGCAAAAAGCAUCUUGUGUUCACGCAAUGCACAAGACCACUUCUAUUAAUAAUAAAAAAGACAGUCCGAUACACAAGGCAUCUCGUGUUCACAUAGUGCACAAGUCCACUUCUAUUAAUAAUAAUAAAAAAAGAACAGUUCGGUGCACCACCCGUGUUCACACAGUGCACAAGUACACUCCACUUCUAUUAAUAUUGGGUGAAAUUAAAAAAUAGCCAUAUUUACAAGUGAUAUUGAAAAAUAUCCACAAUUUCAAAAGUAAUCAAAAUUUAGCAACUUUUCAUGUAAAGAUAAAUCUGAACGAAAACACUGUUCAAAAUCCGGAAAAGAUUACAGCAUAAUAUACUGGACUUCCAGCAUAAUAUACUGGAGUUCCAGGAUAAUAUACUGGUCUGAUAUAAUAUGCUGGAAGUUCAUACACAAGUGCUCCACUCUCCAGUAUAUUAUGCUUGAACAUUCCGUGUGUUAGAGUUCCAGCAUAAUAUGCUGGAAGUUCAUAUACAGGUGCACCAAUGUCCAGUAUAUUAUGCUGAAACUUUUUGUGUUGCAGCAAAAUAGUGACUAUAUUUCAAUAACUUUGCAAACGCUGGCUAUUUUUCAAUAGUCCGAAAACUGACUAGCCCGUACUAUUUUCACAUUAAUACUAGAUGAAUAUGGUUCGUGCUUGCAUUCAUAUUUUUAUGCUUGGGGAAUUUACAUAGAAUACAACUCAUUUAAUACUUAUUUAAGUAUGUUACAAUUACUUUUAGAAAAUUACAUUAGGUACAACUUAUUUUAAAUUAUACAACUUUUAAUAUUCCUAAUAUAUCUCCCUUAAUAUUCUCUCACCUAAAAGUAUCCUUAUAAAUCUCUCUUGAGAUUCUCUCACCUAAAAAUAUCCUUAUAUCUAACUGUUGAGAUUCUCUCUCACCUAAAAUGUAUCUAUUAGUAUUAAUUAUUCUCCAAUUUCUCCAUUUUGUAUAUACCAAGCCUCUUCUCCUAUUAUUAAUAAGUAUCUGAUGUAUGCUAAUAAUAACUAUAAUAUAAAAUAUAUUAUAUAGUACAAAAUAAUAAGUAUAUAAUAUAACAUACCUUUAUUGUAUAAUAUCACUUUUAGUUAUCUAAUGCAUACAUUGAGAAAAAAAAAUCUAAUAUAUACAUUGAGAAAAAAAACUGAUGUAUACUACUAAUAAAUAUUGUAUACAAUAUAUUAUAUAUUAUAAACUUAUAUGAUAUUGGUAUAAUAUAAUACAAUAUACCUUCAUUGUAUAAUAGUAUUACUUUAGUUUAUCUGAUAUAUACUACUAAUAAAUAUAGUAUACAAUAUAUUAUACAAUAUAAACUUUUAUGAAAUUGGUAUAUAAUAUAUAAUACAUCACCUUUAUUGUAUAAUAUUACGUUAGUUCAUGUUGAAUUUUUUAUAUUAAAUAUUACAUGCUAUAUGUUAGUUAUGAUAUAUAUCUUGUUCUUUUUUUUUUUGGGUAGUUUCAUUUGAAGAAUAUUUCUGUCACGACCCCAAUUUUUUUCUAUAGAAUGUUGUGACGACACCUAGUCUCUAAGACUAGGUAAGCCUAACACUUACUAAAUUAACAGAAGAAUUCAACCAUCAACUGAUAAAUAUGAAAUAGUUUUUUUUAUAUACUACAUACAAUCCCAAAACUGGUAGUACAAGUCAUAAGCUCUACUGAGUUUGCUAGAAAAUCCCUAAAUACAACUAUUCAGAAUAGAAAUUAAACAGUACAAGUACAAUAUCAAAAGGUGACUUUGAGGCCUGCGAACGCGACGACAGGCUUUCCUUGAGUCUCCACAGCAAUACUCGGCCAGCUAGCUAAUAAUUAACAAUAUCCGAGGCACCUGGGUCUGCACAAAAAUAUGCAGAAGCGUAGUAUGAGUAUACCAUAACGAUAUCCAGUAAGUAUCAAGACUAACCUAGAUGGAGUAGUGACGAGGGACAAUCAAGAAACCCACUGGACUAAACACCUGAACAAGUAUAAAUGUAGAACUAAGAGGGAACAAUACCAAUAUAAAGUUAGGCAUGAUGACAAUAAUAAUACAAUAUUUGUAAUAGGGACUAAAGGCAACAGUUAACAACGAGAUACAACAUGUAAUAACACUGUAGAGUAAGCUGAACACAGUUCAAUCCAGUGAAAGCAAAUAAAGGAAAACAAGUGACAACUCAAUAGGAACAACCGCUUUCACACCAAGUUUACCCAAGAAUUUUCACGAGGUACCAAACCUCAAAAUCACAAAUCACGGCUCCCAAUUAGUGAACCCUAAUCAUUCGGCAUCUUGUGCCCAUAUUACAAUUCAUAACAGUACGGACGACUCACGUGCCAAGGGAGUGACAAUAUCUAAUAUCCACACGGACCACUCACGUAUCAAUAAUAAUCAUGACUCAUGACUCCACAGACAACUCACGUGCCAACAAGAUAACUCUCACACAUAAGGCAAGUACAUAGGAGUACAUGUAAAUGGUCAAAACAUCAAGAUUCAUCUUCUUAGACCGAUAUGGGUGAUUUAUUUAUGUGUAUGCUUGUGUAAGUGUCCUACCACAAAUUCAAGUCAACAAGUAAGAGUAGAGACAAUGAAUGGCACAUAAUAAAUGAUCACCACAAAAUGUACAAUGUAAUAAAGACAAGAACGAAAUUGAAACAACAAAUAGGAGAAUUAGACUAACUACACAGAACUAAGCAAUAAUGCAACACAGAGAAAGACAAUUAAUAGUAUGCUAAGGAAACAACAAUCAAAGACAAGUACAAAAGCAUGGGAAAAUGUCAACAAGAGUCACUACCGAGGUAUCUCCUCGUAGUAUCAAAUCAUAAAAUGAAUCACAAUCUUUUCUUUUAUCACCGCGAGAGCCUUUAUAUUUAGUUUUGAAACUUAUUUUUCCGGAAAUAGUAUCUCGCGUUUUAGCCCACUUUAUCACAUCGCAUGGCUUUUAGUAGUUCCCCUACUAACCACGUGUAUCAAGCCCACAUUAUCUUACCGCAUGCGUUUCAACACACAGACCUUAUAUCACCGCAUGCGUAUCAAUAAUAACAACAACACGUCAAAAACCUCGUACAAACAUCAUAACAAUAGCACGACAUAAACCUCAUGCAAACAUAAUAACAAUAACACGACAGAAAUAUAGUACAAAUAACAUAACAAUACCCUCAACAAUAACAUGUGUUUCAAAACAUAACAACUCAACAAAAUGAAUUUCACAAUAUGUGCCUAUAUACCACAAUAUUUCCUCAAAACAUUUUCAAUAUAACAACCACGCAUAGCCCUCGGCACAACAACACCGAAUACAAUAACAACAACAACAAUAACACAAGGAUAUGUCAAGUAAAUCAACUCAGGAACUUCAGAACACAAAGAAACGGUAGAACGAGCCAACAAGGAAAGACACAACAAGGAAUAAUGGUCUCAACAAGAAUAGAUCAACAAGGAAGAGAUAACAUGUAGCAAUGAUUCCACAUGAGAAUACAUCAACAAUGGAAGGAAUAACAAACUUAAAUUAAGGCUAAGCAACUACUGUCACGCCCUAAAACUACGUGACCAUCACCCGGUACUCUAUUAGACCCGAAUGAACCAUCUCAUAGAUUAAUACACAUCUAUAUGCCUAAUUGGAGUAUGCGAAAGCUUAUUCAAUUACAAUCAUUUUAAGAUAUACGACAAACAUGAUUAAUGUCUUUAAGUAAAUAUUUUUCCUUUGAAGGUACAACUUCAUAAAGAUAAAAAAAAGUUUCAUUCAUGCACGCCAUGUAAGUAAACAUAGGAUUACAACCCAAAAUGAAUACUAUUAUUGUCUAUGGAAUCUCUAUGACACGGAAUGGAAUAGUCAACCAAGGCAUAACCUGGUGGCUCAAAAGGAUAGUAAUAUAAUAAAGUCCUCCACGAAUACUAGUGUGGAGUCUCACCAAAUAAUGUCAACAGGGAAAUGUAGAGCUGUCUUAUCCAUGCGGCCCAAGCUGCUCACGUCCAGUCCCUGAAAAUAGAAAUAGAAAUGUGGUCGAAAGGCCUAAGCUCCACAUGCCUAGCACGAAUCAUGAACCAUUCCCCAAAAGAACAUAGGAUAAGAUUUAAUAAGAUAUAAGAUAUGCAAUAACAAUUGAUAUCGAAAAAGAAGCCUUCAUAUCAAUUAACAAUUUAGAAAGUAAAAUAAAAUAAUAUAGUAAAACAUAUUUCAAAGUCUUCCUUUAGCAUUGAUCUUUGCAAAAUCAUUUUUGAUUUUUCAUUUACCGGGAGUACUAUACCAUCACCGACACGAAACAAGGUCAACUAGGUUAUGUGCCUAGCGGCAAGUAUCAUAUACCCUACUUGCUCAGGUCGUCUCAUCGUUAUGCCACACGAAUCGACUUAGUCAUGCUAAUAAAGUAGCACAAUAGUAUCCCUAAUGGGAUGUACUCUGCCGUAGUUCCCAACCGUAAGGUAGGUUCUACGCCUACACCGACACGUGUAGUUUCAUGACCAAAUGAGGAAAAGUAUCCAAGGUCAAUCUCAGUGAAUUUAAGUAGCUUCCAAGACCUUUAAAUUUAUCAAUGAUGAUAUUUAUAGCCAGUCAACUAUUUGAGAAUAGUUAAAUCCAAGAUAUUUCACAACUCAUGUAUUUCCAUUUUAAAAAAAAAAUACUACAAGUGUUAUUCCCAAUUUAUUCAGUUUUUAAAAAAAAAUUAAGAUAAAACAUUUCAAAAAAAUAAUAUUCAUAGCACUUAAAUCUUUUAUGAUGCAAGAAUGGUACAAUUCCAACUCGCUCGUCCCCACAAGCUAGGACUCACAUUUAGAAACUCAAUUUAAUCGUGUUUCAAUAUGAGUAUGGAGAAACGUUCCGAGGGUAGUAAGUUUUAAUGUACCUCAAAUUGCUUCCAACCUUACCCCCAAAUGAUCCAAUAAUGCCAAUAAGUCACAAUCUACAUAUACAAACUCACAUAAUUUAAGAACGCAUCACAACGAUACCAACUAAACCAACUAAGUGUCUAACACUUAAGUCAAAUUUCAUAAGUUUAACAAAAAUCCUCAUGACAUCAUUUGAAGGUCAAUCCUUGAAUUUUAACUCCAACUCAUUCAUUAAACUUGUUAUGGGAUCUAGUCGUUCCACUAGAAACUCAAAAUAACAUCGUUCAAACAAGACCUAACACUAUUCAUCAUCUUUACCAACUGUGAUGACCUGAUAAGUCAUCUUAUAUUUUAGAACUUAAUUCUGCGUUACGAGGUCUCAAAAACCUCAUCUUAUCCUCUCGAUUUGUGUGCGCAGUUCGAGUGUUCUUCCGGAAGGUUUAUAUGUUAAAAACUGAUAAAAAUAAGAAUUUUUGCAUAAAAACUUUAGUUGAGUUGACUUCGGUCAACAUUUUUGGUCAACGGGCCUGGAUCCAUAUUUUAAUGGUCCCGGUGGGUUCGUAUCGAAAUAUGAGACUUGGGCGUAUUUCCGGAAUCGAAUUCGGAGGUCCCUAGCUUGAGUUAUGAAUUUUUGAGGAAAAUUAAAAGUCGGAAAAUCUAAGGUCUUUAAGAAUUGGUUGUUGUUUGACCUUGUUGAUAUCAGGUUCGUAUUUUGGUUUCGGAGCCUGGUAUAGGUCCAAUAUAAUAUAUAUGACUUAUCUGUAAAAUUUGGUGAGAAACGGAGUUUGUUUGACGUGGUUCGGACGACCGGUUGUGAAAAUAGGAGUUUUAAAGUGUUUUUGAGAAUUUCAUUUGAUUUGGUGCUAAAUUCAUAGUUUUAGGUGUUAUUUUGGCGAUUUGAUCACACGAGAAAGUUCGUAUGAUAUUUUUAGACUUGUGUGCAUGUUUGGUUUGGAGCUUCGGGGGCUCGGGUGAGUUUCGGAUAGGCUACAUGAUGUUUUGUACUUAGGAAAAAUCUGGUUUCUGCAGUUUCAGUGCCUUCUUGUUUCCUUCUUCGCGUUCGCGAAGGCACUCUCACAAACGCGUAGUAGAAACUGGGCUGGCUGAAUUUUGCUUCUUCGCGAACGCGAAGGCUGGGUCACGAACGCGGAGCGAUGGGGACUUUACCCUUCGCGAACGCGACCAGCUCAACGCGAACGCGUAGUGAUAUUGACCUGGGGGAGGGGGUCAGUCACUCUUCAUCGCGAACGCGAGCAAGGACUCGCGAACGCGAAGGCCAGGGAGGCGUAACCUUCGCGAACGCGAUAGGAGUUUCGCGAUCGCGAUCGCGUAAGUUUGGCAAGCUCUCCUCUUCGUGAACGCGACAGUGUCCUCGCGAAUGCGAUGAACACUGUCACCUAGCUAUUAAACAGUCCCAUUACGGGACUUAAGCCAUUCUUUCACAUUUUCAAAAGCUAGACGGCCUAGAGGCGAUUUUCAAAAGACAUUUUCUUCCCCAAAGUGUUGGUAAGUGAUUCUAAACCAUAUUCUUUCAAUUAUCCAUUACAUUUUAUGAAUUUUCAACCUAAAAUCUAGAGUUUCAUGGUAGAGUUGAGGGUUUUGGGUAGAAACUAGGGAUUUGAAAAAAAAAAAUGGGGAUAUAGACCUCAAAUUGAGGUCGGAUUCCAAAAUCAAUUAUAUAUCCGGGCUCGGGGCUGAAUGGGUAAAUAGAUUUUGGUUCGAACCUCGGGUUUUGACAAAGCGAGCCCGGGGUUGAUUUUUGACUUUUUGGAGGAAAGUUUGGGAAAUCUAAAUUUAUGCAAUGUAAUUGAUUCCUUUAGCAAUAUUUGAUAUUAUUAAGUCAUUUUUGAAUAGAUACGAUGGUUUGGAAGUGGGUUCUAGAGAAAAAGCUAUGAUUGAGUAUUGAGUAGCCUUCGGAGCGAGGUAAGUGUCGUGGUUAACCUUGGCUUGAGGGAUUAGGUAUUAUUCGCUUAUUUGCUACGUCUUUGUAUGUUGAGUACAACGUAUAGGUGAGGUGACGAGUACCUAUGUGUUGUUGUCGAGUCGUAACAUAUGAGUGAGUCUUAUUAUUGUAAUCGUUGCAUUCGUUGAUCAUAUUGUUCAUGAUUAGACUAGCUAUUUCUUAUGUUGAACAACUCUUAUUAUGUUUUACGAAAAUUGGUAUUGAUUGGGUAUUGACCCAAAGUUGAGGUUAGUAACAUGGAAUUGAAUCUUGAAGUAAGACUUGUUUUUGAUAUUUCUAUCUCCUUGUUGUUACUGUUCAUUGUCUUGGUGAGGGAGAGUGUUAAAGCAGGAAGGGUGAUGCCGUGCAACGUUUUGUGAGUGAGUGAUAAUGCACGAAGGAUGAUGUUGUGUCAUGUUAUGAGAGAGUUAAUGCACGAAGGGUAAUGUCGUGCCGUUUCUAUUGUUUCUUAUGGUAGGGUUGAAAGUAUAAGCACGAAGGGUGAUGUCGUGCACUUUCUUUUACUAUGUUUACUUGUUUCUUUUUUGUUAAAGACAUGUCGAUUGAUCAUGUUCUCAUUCCUGUUGUGAUUCCUUUCCAUGUAAUCCCCUCAGCAUGUCCCCUUCCCAAUAUUUCUUGCCUUGCUUCUUUAGUUAUUUUUAUUAUUGUAUAUAUUGAUAUAUAUUGCACAGGUUUAUUUGUAGGUGUCUUAUCCUAGCCUCAUCACUACUUCGCCAAGGUUAGACUCGAUACUUAUCAAUACAUGAAGUCGGUUGUACUGAUACUGCACUCUGCACUUUCUGUGCAGAUUUUGGUACCGGCUCGGGUUGAUCGAGAUUUCAGUUAUUGAACCCGCUAUCCGGAGACUCAAGGUAGAUCUGUCGACGUUCACAGACUUUGAAGUCCCUGUCUAUCUUUUCUGUUUUAAUGUUCUUUCAUUCAAACAGUUGUAUUUCUCUCAGACUAUUACUUGUAGUAAAUUCUAGAAUGCUCGUGAAUUGUGACUCCAGAUCCGGGUGGUAGUAAUUAAUGCAGUUUUUAUACUAUUCCGCACUCACUAUAUUUCAUCUUAGCUAAUUUGCUGUUAUUUACUGAAUGGAAAAAGGAUUGGUUUAAUAAUUCUCUAACGUUGGGUUGCCUAGCAAGUGAAAUGUUAGGCGCCAUCACGGUCCGACGGUGGGAAUUCCAGGUCGUGACACCAACCAACUCUUCAAUUUCAAGACUAGCUUCUAGGAUUUUAUGAAUAGAUAUUUAAAUACAAAUCUAACUUCAUAAAUAUACUCUACUACACCCAUGGAGUAUAGUACAUAAGAUUGGAGUGAAGAAAUUACCUCUUUGUCAAACCCUAAAAGUUUCAAGAUUUGAGUUUCUUGAAAUGUCCUUGAGAUUAUCUUCAAAAAUUUAUGAAUCCCACGAUGUUGGAGGGUUAAGAGACAUAAUAAAUAAAUCAAAUCUAUCAAAGAAAGACAUUUAAUUCUUACCUUGAAGAUGUAUUAAUGGUAAAGAGAUCCCCCUUCUCUCUAAUCCCCAAGACCAAGUCCAAAAUAAUAUAAUUUCUCUCUAUGAAAUGCCUAUAAAAACUUCAGUUGUGGGUUUUAAAUUUCGGGUGCUGAGUUGCAAGCCUUCGCUAUACUUCAUUGUCUCACGCUGGAUUCCAAUUUAUUCUAUCACUGAAGCAACAUUUUGGUUUUCAACUUUAAUCAUUCCAUUUUGCACUUAAUAUGCUUGCCUUUUAUCUUUCAUAAUUACUUCCAUUAUUCUAUUAUCUUUGGUAUUUAAUUAAUUUCCAUGUCCCCCCUUUUUAUAUCCUGGUCCCCUUUAUCUCUUUGUUGGCCAACAACUUUCUUAGUUUUCUAAAUCCUUUCUCGUUGCCAACUGAAGGCUAGGAUUUUUAAUCCUUGUUUUCUUAUUAAAUUCCAACUCUUCAAGUUGGUUACAUACCAUUGAAUUCUCAAAAUUUCAGCAUCCUAUGACGUAGAAACUUGAUAUACUCCAAAUGCAUUUGCUGACCUUGUAACCUCCACUAAUUUAAUGAUUAACUAUCGACAUUAUCCCUAAGUAUUCCAAUAACUUUCUUCCACUCGAAUAAUCAUGUGGCUCAGAUUUAAUUAUAUUGUAUUCUCAAGCUCUAAAUUAGUAGGAAUUAACUAAAAAAAUUUACGGGGCUAUACAUUCUCCUCACUUAGAAAUAUUCGUCCUCGAAUGUAAAUUCUUGGUCGUGUUAAAGUCUUAAAGCGUAAUCUCCAAGCCUUUUGCUUACUCCUUAACUCUUUAAGGCUUCGAAAUUUGACUAACUCUCCAAAUUUUUAAGAAAUUUGGCAGAAUUUCCUUCGUUAAUAGGCUUAUCCCAAAAUUCCAACCUCACAAUGAGCCAUAAGAAUAUAAUAUAAAAGGCCCCACAUGGCUCUACUCAUUGCAUCUACCUCAAUGAAUACAUCUGUGACUUCAUUUAUCUCCAGACACCAGUACAUAGCCUCUCCCAACAUCACAACAAUAAAAUUUAUUACCAUAAGACAAGUCUAACAACCAUGUGCAAUAGAUAAAUCAAUCAAUCACUUGCCCCAUGGAAGUAAAUUAUAAUAAACUCUAAACUCAAAAUUUCUAAAAAUAAUAGUCAUACCUGAAGUCGCGAAUAAGUAUAGAUAUCAGAUUUUCAUAUCUUCCUCGGCCUCUCGAGUAGCCUCCUCGACGUCAUGAUUACGCCAUAACACUUUAACUGAAUCUAUGUCCUUAGUCCUCAACCUACGGACUUUCCUAUCAAGAAUCUCAACAUGUUCUUCAUCAUAAGUUAAGCCGUCAUUUAUUUCUACUACCUCCGUGAAACGAUGUGAGCAGGAUUGGGCACAUACCCCCGUAGCAUCGAUACAUAAAAAACAGGAUGAACCAAAGUCAUCAAUGUAGGUAACUCCAGCUUGCAGGCUACUUCCCCAAUCCUUUUCAAGAUACGAUAUGGACUAAUGAAUCUAGGACUUAGCUUGCCCUUCUUCCCAAAUCUCAUAACCCCCUUCAUUGGCGAUACUUUCAUGAACACUUGAUCACCCUAUUUAAACUCCAACUUACGUCGAUGUACAUCAGUAUAGCUUUUUUGUCGACUCUGAGCAGUCUUAAGCCAUUGUUGAAUCAAAGCCACCUUCUCCAAGGCAUCAUGUACAAGAUUAGGACCAAGUAGUCCUACCUCAGUCGGCUCAAACCAUCCAAUAGGUGAUCUACGACGUUGUCCGUACAAAGCCUCAUAUGGAGCCAUCUGGAUACUAGCAUGAUAGCUAUUAUUGUAGGCAAAUUUGAUCAGAGGUAAGUGUUCAUCCCGAUUCCCACCAAAAUCAAGGACACAAGUCUGCAACAUAUCCUCAAGCAUCUAAAUAGUUCUCUCAGCUUGUCCGUCAGUCUGUGGAUAAAAAGCGGUACUCAAAUUGACACUUGUACCUAAUCCUUCCUGAAAGGACUACAAAAAAUGAGCAGUAAAUUGGGCCCCUCCAUCAGAUAUAAUGGAAGCUAGAAUAUCAUGAAGUCUGACAAUUUUUUUCAAGUAUAACUUAGCGUAAUGCGGUGCCGUGUCAGUCAUCUUUACCGGUAAGAAAUGCACCGACUUUGUAAGUCGGUCUACAAUCACCCAAAUUGAGUCAUGCUUCAAGAAGGUGCGAGGCAAACCCACCACAAAGUCCAUAUUAAUCAUCUCCCACUUCCAAAGUGGAAGCUCAAUAUUUUGAGCCAAUCACCAGGUCUUUGAUGCUCAGCUUUCAUUUGCUGGCAAUUUAAACAUCUAGCCAUGAAGUCUGGAACGUUUUUCUUCAUUCGAUUCCACCAAUAGAUCUCCCGCAAGUCCUUAUACAUUUUUGUGGACCCUGGAUGUAUAGAAUAUUUCGAGUUGUGUGCCUCAGACAUAAUUUUAUUACGAAGUCCAUCAAUAUCUGGCACGCACAAGCGACCGUUCAUCCUCAACACCCCAUCCUCGUCAAGAGAAAAAGCGAGGAUAUCUUUAGAUUGUACACCAGUUCGAAUAUCCACCAAAUUUGGAUCUUCAAAUUGCUUAGCCUUGACACGCUCAAUAAGAGAGAAACGUGUUAUGGCACAAAUAAAAAUCUCUUUAGCUAUCGAUAAAUGCACCAAAGCACCUCCUGACUUUCGGCUUAGUGCGUCGGCUACCACAUUCGCAUUUCCCGGAUGGUAAUGAAUGCUUAAAUCAUAAUCCUUCAAUAGUUCUGACCAUCUCCUUUGCCUCAGGUUUAAUUUACUCUACUUGAAUAUAUAUUGCAAGCUUUUAUGGUCGGUGUGUACUUCACAGUGCUCACCAUACAAGUAAUGCCGCCAAAUAUUCAAAGCAAAUACAACCGCGACAAGUUCCAAGUCAUGGGUCAGAUAGUUCUUCUCAUGGAUAUUCAACUGUCUAGAAGCAUAAGCGAUAACCUUACCUUUCUUCAUCGAGACACAACCCAACCCAACUCUAUAGGCAUCACAGUAAAUCGUAAAGUCACCCAAACCUGUUGGCAACGUCAAUACCGGCGCCGUAGUCAAUCUAUCUUUCAACUCUUGAAAACUUCUCUUGCAAGCAUUCGACCACUAAAACUUCGCAACUUUCUGUGUCAACUUGGUUAACAGAGAUGCAAGAGUAGAAAAACCUUCAACAAACCGCUGAUAGAAACUCGCUAAUCCCAAGAAACUACGGAUCUUUGUCGGUGUAGUUGGUCUAGGCUAAUUCUUAAUCGCUUCAACCUUUUGAGGAUCAACCUUAAUACCUUCAUGAGAUACCACAUGACCCAAGAAUGCCACAGAUUCAAGACAAAAUUCACACUUAGAGAAUUUGGUAUAUAACUCAUUUUCCAAAAGCGUCUGCAAUACUAUUCUCAAAUGAUUGGCAUGCUCCUCUUGACUUCGCGAAUACACUAAUAUGUCAUCAAUGAAAAUAAUCACGAAUCUGUCAAGAAAUGGGUUGAAAACCCGAUUCAUUAGAUCCAUAAAGGUUACGGGUGCAUUUGUUAGCCCAAAUGACAUCACCAAAAAUUCAUAAUAUUUGUAGCGGGUCCGAAAAGCCAUUUUGGGAAUAUCCUUCUCUCGAGUUUCAACAUAUGAUACCCCGACCUUAAAUCAAUAUUCGAGAAGAACUUCGCCAUUUACAACUAGUCAAACAAGUCAUCUAUUCGAGGCAAUGGAAACCUAUACUUGAUGGUCACUUUAUUAUAUUGCAUGUAGUCAAUACACAUCCUCUAAGAACCAUCUUUCUUUUUCACAAAUAACACUGGCGCACCCCAAGGUGAUACACUAGGUCUAAUAAACCCUUUAUCCAGUAAAUCUUUCAAUUGCUCCUUCAAUUAUCUUAACUCGGCUGGAGCCAUUUGGUAUGGGGAAAUAGAUAUUAGUUGUGUAUCUGGCACCACAUCUAUCCCAAUGUUGAUAACCCGAUCUGGUGGAAUACCCAGAAGCUCAUCAAGAAAAAUAUCAAGAAACCCGUUAACAAUUGGCACAGAUUGAAUGCUUAUUACCUCCGCAGUUGUGUCAAUAACUCUGACUAAAUGAUAAAGACAUCCCUUGGUGAUCAUCUUCAUCGCCUUAAGGUAUGAAAUAAUUUUACCUCGAGGCUCAGCAAUAUUGUCUUUCCACUCACGAACUGGAUCAUUAGGAAACUCAAACUUGACCACUUUAGCAUGACAAUCAAGAAUGGUGUAACACUUGUAUAAUCAAUCCAUCCCUAUAAUCACAUCAAAGUCAAUCAUUUCUAGCUCAAUGAGGUCUUUAGUAGUUUCUCAAUGUUGAAUUAUAAUCACACAACCCCUAUAAAUGUGGGAGGCAAUAACAAAAUCUCCCACCGGAGUCAACACAAAAAAUGGUUCAAGUAGUUGUUCUGGCUCUAUCCCAAAAUCCAAAGCAAAGUACAGAGUAACAUAGGAAAAAGUAGAUCCAGGAUCCAUAAGAGCAUAAGCAUCUAGAUCAUAAACUGUAAGUAUAACUGUGAUGACAGCAUCUGAAGCCUCUGCAAAAGAGCAAGUAGGCAUGGCAUAGAAAUGAGGAUCAGUUCCCUGAGAAGUAGUAGCUGUCUGUGGAGCCUUACCCGCAUUGCGCCCGUUGUGGGCCCCAUUACCCUUAGGUGGGGGCGGUGUAACUGAAGUAGUAAUCAUAGAAGGUGUCGGGUGAGCUCUCGAACCCUAUUGCUCAUUAGGGCAAAACUUUCGGAUAUGACUCAUCAACCCGCAACCAUAGCGCGGACCACGGGGUCCCCUGGUAACACUAGGUUGAUGCUGAUGAGAACCCACACUACUCUGACCCUGCUGUGCAGUACAAUGCUCACUCUGAACGAACCUAGACUGGCCUCUUUGUCCGGAACUGUAUGUCACUGGAGGGCUACUGAAAGUUGUCUGCAUCUUAGACUGCGGUGGGCCAGAUGAUCCUCUGUUGCUCUGCCCCUUGAUCGAACUAGGCACUGCACUGAAAGUGCCAAAAUUCUGAGCCUUUUUGUUUUGCUCCCUAUUGGCCCUCUCCUCCUGAUGAAUUCCCUCGAGAUCCAUUGCUAGAUUUAUAAAGUCAGUAAAGGUAGUGUUUCUUCUCCCACUAGCCGUAUCUCUUCUGAUGCUCGGAAUCAAGCCACGAGCAAAGCGAUCAAUCUUCUCAUCCUCGGUGGGGAUGAGACGGGAAGCAUAACGGGAUAACUUCUCGAAUUUGAUGUUAUACUCAAGGACAGUCAUGGUAUCCUGCUUUAAGGUCUCAAACAAUAUCACAAGGGCAGCUCUCACUCAUGGUGGUAACCACUUCUUAAUGAAGAUCUUCUUAAAUUCUGCCCGAAUCAUUAGAGGUGCAUACUCUGGUUGACUUUACUCUACCCCUUUGAACUAGAGGUCAACAAUGUCUUUCAACUGGUGGUAGUCUUUAACUCCCAGCAAAGUAGUAGCUUUCUCAACUUCCUCCAAGAAGUCUUGAGGGUCUGCACUGGGAUCUAUACCAGUGAAAACUGGCGGCUUAAGUCUCACAAAUUUCAUGGCCAACUGUGCCACGUCCUCAACCGCUGGUGCUCUUAUUCCUCAUUGUUGGAUUGCCUGAAUACCCACUUGAAGGUUUUGUUGGGUCUGCAUAGCCAUGAGGUCAACAAAAGUAUUCAUAGCCUUUCUAACAUCAGUGAGGGUCUUUUCCAAGUGAUUUGGUUCUGGAGGUGGAGCAGGUUCCUCGUCAACUUCUUCCUCGAGCUCUUGGAUCAUCCUUGAGCCAUUAGAAUUGGCACAGUUCAUGCUCUUGCAGCCUUCAGAGGUCAGCCCCUAGAUCUAGCAGGAACCCCUCCUGAAGCCGCAUCACGUAUAGGAGCAGCUUCCUGAUUCAUGUUACCGCCACGCAUGUUCACCAUCUUCUGCCAAUUGAUAUAGCGCACGAGUUAGGACAUAUUUCUUAGUUCUAUUACACGAUUCUAGAAUAAGAAGAAAGAGUGAAGUAUUCUUAUAAUGUCCAUAUAGACUUCUCGAUAUAGGUGUGGUGCACAACAUACCAAUAAAGAGAACUCUACCAGACACGAUUCCAUAAACUUCCUGGGAUUCAAAUUAGAACCUAGGGUUCUGAUACUAAGUUUGUCACACCCUAAAACUACGUGACCGGCACCCGAUACUUUAUCAAACCCGAGUGAACCAUCCCAUAGAUUAAUACAUAUCUAUAUGCCUAAUAGGAGGAUGCAAAAGCCUCUUCAAUUACAAUCAUUUUAAGAUAUACGACAAACAUGAUUAAUGUCUUUACCCAUGGAGUAUAGUACAUAAGGUUGGAGUGAAGAAAUUACCUCUUUGUUAAACCCUAAAAGUUUCAAGAUUUGAGUUUCUUGAAAUGUCCUUGAGAUUAUUUUCAAAAAUCUAUGAAUCCCACGAUGUUGGAGGAUUAAGAGAUGUAAUAAAUGAACCAAAUCUAUCAAAGAAAGAUAUUUAAUUCUUACCUUGAAGAUGUAUUAAUGGUAAAGAGCUCCCCCUUCUCUCUAAUCCCCAAGAUCAAGUGCAAAAUAAUAUAAUUUCUCUCUAUGAAAUGCCAAUAAAAACUUCAGCUGUGGGUUUUAAAUUUCGGAUGCUGAGUUGCACGCCUUUGUCACGACCCAAAAAUCUCACCUUUCAUAAUGGCGCCUAUCUUAAUACUAGGCAAGCCGAGAAUCUCAAUAAACCACCAUAUCUUUUAAGUUUGAAAAUAAAAUAAUUAAAUUCAGCGGAAAAAAUCUCACAAAUACAAUUAUAACACUCCCAAAAACCGGUUCACUAAGUAUAUGAGCAUCUAAAUGAAUACAAAGUCUGACUGAUAAAAAAUAACUAAACAGGAAGGGAAUCAAGUCUGCGGAUGUCAAGCAACUACCUUGAUAGUCUCCAACAGAAAUAACUAUGAAAUCUAGCAGUCGUCGUAUCUGGGAGCACCUGGAUCUGCAUACGAGGUGCAGAGUGUAGUAUGAGUACAACCAACUCAAUAAGUAACAAGACUAACCUCUGGGCUGAAAAUAGUGACGAGCUCCGCAGGUACAAUUCAGUAUAAAUAAUGGUACAAAAUGUAGGCAUGCUUUCAAGUUCAAUAGUUAAACUCAGUACAAGUGGAAUAGAUCAAUACUGCAUGAUAUGAGGAAUAUGACAUCUCAGUAGAAAGACCUCAUGUAAAUACUGGUCACAAAUAUAUUUGGUCACUCGGUACUGCUUAUGGCCAAUCCAGCCCAGGGAUACUCCAUCCCGUAUAUAUAUACAUAUCGGCUGACAGUCAGUCACUCAGUACCGUAUAAGGCCAAUCAAGCCUUGAGGUAAUUUAUCCCCAAUGUACAUGAUACGAACAAGAUCCAUGUCUAGGAAAAAUUCAUCACAACAUAUAAAUAAGUAAGGCAAAUCCAUGCCCUGGGAAGUCCAUCCCGAAUAUAUAUAAUCAUCGUAAGUGAGGCAAGUCCAUGCCCUGGGAAGUUCAUCCCGAAUAUAUAUAAUCGUCUACGCUCACUGGGGGUGUGUACAGACUCCGGAGGGUCUCCUUCAGCCCAAGCGUGAUAUAAAGCCUAUAUGGCCUACUGCAGGCAGGCAGUCCCGAUCCGUAUAAUAAUAAAGCCUAUAAGGCCUGCUACAGGCAGGCAGCCCCGAUCCAUAAAAUAAUAAAUCCUAUAAGGCCUGCUGCUGGCGGGCAGCCCCGAUUCAAUAAUAAUAAUGUAUAAAGCCACUAUGGCCUGCUGCAGGCGGGCAGUACCGAUCCAUUUAAUGCUAACAUAUAUAAAGCCAAUAUGGCCUGCUGCGGCGCGCAGCUCGAUCCCAUAAAUAUCCUCACAAUGGACGAAUAUGACUGAGUGUGAAAUGUAUAUUUUUGAAAUAAUUAAUUCAACAGCAAUACGACCCCAUGGGUCCCAAAAUAUUGGCACAUAGCCUAAACACGAUAUUUAAUAAGAGCCUCGGCUCAAUUUCUCUAACAAGUGGAAUAUGUUCAGAUAAUAACAUGAUUCAUUAAUUUUUACAACUGCACAUGAUUUAUUCAAGACAUAAUUUAUGUGGUGCACAUCUACAUGCUCGUCACCUAUCGUGUGUGUCACCUCCAAACAAUUUAUAUCAUACCAAAUUUUGGGGAUUCAUACCCUCAGAACCAAGUUUAAAAAUGUUACUUACCUCAAACCGUGAAAUUCUUUACUCUGCCAUGCCUUUGCCUCGCAAAUCAGCCUCCGAAUACCUCGAGUCUAGUCUCAAAUAAUUUGUUUCAGUCAAUACAAAUACAGAAAUUUAUUCCAUAUGAAAAUAUCAAUUUUCCAACAAAAUCUGAAAUUUAACUCAAAAUUUGCCUAUGGGGCCCACGUCUCGUAACCCGACAAAAGUUACAAAAUCCGAAAGUCUAUUCAAUCAUGAGUCUAAUCAUAUAAAUUUUACCAAAAUCCGACCUCAACUCGACCUCCAAACCCUCAAAUCUUAUUUUCAAAUCCCUAGGUUCAAAUCCCCGAUUUACACCUCAAAAACACAUAAUCUAGUCGAAUUAUUCGAUGAUAAUUUAAUAUUAUGGAGUAGAAAUGAUCACAACUGACUUACCUCAAGUUUCCCUUGAAUUCUCUCUGAAAAUAGCCCUAAAAUCCGUGCUUGAAGGUCCAAAAAUGGCAAAACUCGGAACUCCUCCCAUUUUAUUCUGUCCUAGGCUUGUCGCACCUGCGACCAGAUUAGCCGCAUCUGCAGUCUCGCAGGUGCGACAAAAUUUUCGCUCCUGCGAUCGCUCAAAAUACUCCCUCUGCUUCUGCACGUUCCCUUUCGCACUUGCGGCCUCACAGGUGCUGUAAAAUGCUCGCACCUGCGCACACUGCCUCACCAAGCGCCCUUGUGCUUCUGCGAUGGAAGGCUCGCUUCUGCGAGCUCGCACCUGCUAUGGAAUUUCCCCAGGUGCGAUUGCAUUAGAUGGCAGAAACUUCAGCUUUUCUUCCAAGUCCGAAUUUGGUCCGAUGACUACCCGAAACUCACCCGAGGCCUCCGGGACCUCAACCAAAUAUACCAACAAGUCCUAAAACAUCAUACGAACUUCGUUGAGUCUUCAAAUCACAUCAAACAAUGCUAGAAACACAAAUCACACCCCAAUUCAAGCCUAAUGAACUUUGAAAUUUCCAAAUUCUAUAUCUUGUGUCGAAACACAUCAAAUCAAUCUGAAAUGACGUCAAAUUUUGCAUACAAGUCAUAAAUGAAAUAACAGAGCUAUGAAAAUUUUCAGAACUGGAUUUCGACCCUGAUAUCAAAAAGUCAACUCCCCGGUCAAACUUUCCGAAAAUUUAAUUUUCGCCAUUUCAAGCCAAAUUCCACUACGGACUUUCAAAAAAAAAAAUCGGAUACGUUCCUAAGUCCAAAAUCACCAUACAGAGCUAUUGGAAUCAUCAAAACUCCAUUCUGGGGUCGUUUACAUAUAAGUCGAUAUCCGGUCACUAUUUUAACUUAAGCUUUAAACCUUGAAACUAAGUAUUCCAAUUCAUUCCAAAACCUCACCGGACCGAACCAAUUAACCCGGUAAGUCAUAAAAUAAUUAUAAAGCAUAAAUUGAGCAGUAAAUAGAAAAACGAGGUUAUAAUACUCAAAAUGACCGGUCGGGUCGUUACAGCCUUCGCUGCACUUCACUAUCUCAUGCUGGAUUCCAAUUUAUUUAAUCACUGAAGCAACAUUUUGGUCUUCAACUUUAAUCAUUCCAUUUCCCACUUAAUAUGCUUGCUUUUUUAUCUUUCAUAAUUACUUCCAUUAUUCCCUUAUCUUUGAUAUUUAAUUAAUUUCCUUGUUCCCCCUUUUUAUAUCAUUGUCCCCUUUGUCUCUUUGUUGGCUAACAACUUUCCUAUUUUUCUAAAUCCUUUCUCGUUGCCAACUGAAGGCUAGGAUUUUUAAUCCUUGUUUUCUUAUUAAAUUCCAACUCUUCAAGUUGGUUACAUAUCAUUGAAUUCUCAAAAUUUCAGCACUUAUGACAUAGAAACUUGAUAUACUCCAAAUGCUUUUGAUGACCUUGUAACCUCCACUAAUUCAAUGAUUAACUAUCUACAUUAUCCCUAAAUAUUCCAAUAACUUUGUUCCACUCGAAUAAUCAUGUAGCUCAGAUUUAAUUACAUUGCAUUCUCAAGCUCAAAAUUAGUAGGAAUUAACUAAAAACAUUUAUGGGGCUUUACAAUUACGGAAGAUAUAAUAUUAAUUUUAAUUAAGGUUAAGCAAUUACGGAAGAGAUAACAACAAAUUCAAUUAAGGCACAUAAGGAUUCAAUUAGAAAUAAGGGUAAAACAUGUAUCAAAUAAAUUUCAAAUACGACACGUAAGGGUAAAUUUAGUAAGUGGAGGAUUUAGCAUGAUAAAAUAACUUCAUAUCUAAUGAACAUAAGAACCUAAGGCCCUAAAUAGUCAAAUUUCUAUAAAUAAGCCCGAGCACGUACUCGUUACCUCGCGUAUACGACCUUUACAUGAAAUAAUUAGCACAAAUUGCUCAAAUUCUAAGACGUAAUUCCCCCACACAAAGUUAGGCGAGAUACUUACCUCAAAGAAGUUAGACCGAUACUCUAAAAUAAAUUUUUCGAGUGAAACAACCUCCGAGCGGCUCAAAUAUAGCCAAAAUAACUUCAAAUCAUAAGUAAAACUCAUAGAAAAUAAUUCAGGAUAAUAAAGGUUCAAUCUUUAAUAAAAACUAAAAAGUCAACCCCGAGGCCCGCACUCGGAACCCGAUAAAAUUUAUAAAACCCGAACACCCAUUCCGAUACGAGUUCAACCAUACCAAAAUUAUCAAAUUCUGAUAUCAAUUCGUUUUUCAAAUCAUCAUUUUACACUUUUGAAAGAUUUUACAAAUUUUUCCAAACUUCCAACUUAACUCUCUAAUGUAAUGAUAAAAAUAAAGAUAAAAUCAUGAAAUAAAAUCAAAACCAGGUAAAGAUCACUUACCCCAAACAACCACGUGAAACUCCCCCUAAACAAUCGCUCAAAUUCGAAGUCUCUAGCUCAAAAGAUGAAAAAUUGACAAAACCCACAAUUUUGGAAAAUAUAUUCUUCUGCUCAGUGAUUUACAAAUUUCGAUUACGGAAAUGCAAUUGCGAUCGCGAAGAAGGAAAUGACUACUGCCCAGAAAUUGUACUACGCGAUCGCGAACAAAUGCAUGCGAUCGUGAAGAAGGGAACAACAAAUGCCCCCAAGAAAUGUACUACGCGAUCGCGAACCAUAACAUGCGAUCGUGAAGGAGAAAAUAUACCAGCUGCUAAGGUUAUGCUACGCGAACGCGGAACUGUGAAGGCGAAUGCGAUGAAGGAGGAUACACACGUACGCGAUCGCGCGCAGAAUAAUGCGAAAGCGAAGAGGAAAAGAUCCAGUCACCAGAAUAGCCUGCGCGAACGCGGAAUGAACUUCACGAUUGCGUAUAAGGGAACACCAGAUAUUAGAUUAGCCAUCCAAAACAUGAGAAAAUAGCCCGCAACCCAUCUGAAACACGCCCGAGGCCCUCGGAACCCCAUCGAAACAUACCAACAAGUUCCAUAAUAUAAGACAAACCCGCUCGAGGUCUCAAAUCACAUCAAACAAUAUUAAAACUACGAAUCACACUACAAAUCAAACUUAUGAAAUUUCAAAUCUUUUAACUUCAAAAACCCGUGCCGAAACAUAACAAAUCAACCUGGAAUGACGUCAAAUUUUGUAUGCAAGUUCUAAAUGACAUAACGAAGCUAAUCCAACUCUCUUAAUCACAUUCCAACCCCGAUACCAUCAAAGUCAACUCCCAGUCAAACCUCUCAACCUUCCAAAAUUUCAACUUUCUAAUUUUUACCGAAAUGCUUCAAAUUACCCUACAGACCUCCAAAUCCAAAUCCGGACGCACGCCUAAGUCCAAAAUUAUCAUACAAAACUAUUGGAAUCAUCAAAAUCCCAUUUCGGAGUCGUCUACACAAAAGUAAAAACUCCGGUCAACUCUUACCGCUUAAACUUCUAAAACAUGCAUCCUUCUUCCAAAUUGAUCUAGAUGAUCCGAAAACCGAACUUGACCACACACGCAAGCCAUAACACUUAAUACGAAUCUACUCGAGACCUUACGCUGCUGAAUGGGACGCUAAUUCUCAAAACGACCAGUCAGGUCGUUAUAAUUUCUCCUACGGGAAGCGGUGAUUAUUGUUCCUCUAUAUGUAGAUUUAAGAAAACUGCCAUCAACAAUGACGAUUGGUUUACAAUAAUCCUACCCUUUGAUCGAUGCAUAAAUAGCUACAAAUAAAUAUAAGAAUGAUCCAUCAUCAGAAUUGAUCAAAAUCCCUUCGACAUCAAAUUUAACAUAUCUGCGAUCGUCUUACCAUACUCCAUUGUAUUGAAUCAGAGUUGGUAUAUUCACAAUUGUUUCUUAGAGUACAGUAUCUUACUUUAAGUAUAUCAAGAUGGAGAAUCAGAAAGAGACACAAUGGAAGAAUCAAUACCUUUUUACGAACUACUUCUAUGUAGUACCUAUUUUUAGGGAAUAUGAAGCGUUGGUUAUGAGGUAAUGUUGUAGUAGUAAUCUAGUAUGUUUAUAGUGAUAAUCAAUACUUAACAAAUUGGAGAAUAUUUAGGGAAUAACUAUACGUUUCAGAUUUCCAUUCCCCCUAAAUAGAAAAUUUGCCAUAUUUUUAGAGUUUAUCUUUUAUAUAUGUGUUGUACAAUUUGUAAUUCAAAACCAAGUUGUAAAUUAUGGAAUAUUUAACAAAUCCUUAAGUAAUUAUGAAAAUUCCCCCUAGUUAAUACUUCCAGUGACUGAGAGACAAAUAUAAAAGGCUUUUAGGUUGAAAUGCAUCAAACUACAAAUUCAGCAGCCAAAGAAGACACAAAAAGAUAGUGCUACACAAAACAACUAAUAUAUAGAGGAACUUAUUGAGUCUAUGUUAUAUAAGUAGAGGAGUUUGAAUCUCAAUAUGUGUUAGUGUUAUCAUAGUAUGACUUCAGCGCAAAAAGGCAUACAGAAUCGGAUGUUAAACUCUUCCAUGACUAUGAACAGGUCCAUAACAUAGAAAAAUCUUGUCUAAAGCAACAUAUCCUUGAAAAGUAUAAUACCUUUGCAAUAACAUCUUUUUUCCUUCAUUCGACCGAGCACAAUCCCAAUAUUUUAGUUCCCCUUUUAACUGCAAUAUGCUUGCAAUAUAUAUCAUUUAACACUAUACAAUACAUAUGAAUAAAAAUAGUAGAAGAAAAUAGUUUGCACUUACGAAAAGCUAACCAAAGUCUGUUCUGUAAUUCUAUACCCUCCAAUGUGACUAACUAUAUAUAGAGAAAAUAUUUAUCCAAGGAAAAAAACAUAAAAAAAUAUAUUAAGAUUUAUAAAUGACAUGCUUCGGUAUUAGAACCAAAGCUUUUCAUUAUGUAUCAAUGCACAAAUUCAAAGAUUCAUUUUUCUGGCACUUCACUUUACAAUUUUCAAGAAAAGAAACAAAAUAAUUGCAACAUCAAUCUGACAUCUCUGGUAAGUCAAACGCUUGAUCUAGACACUACUUAUUUUUUUUUAAUUUCUAUAUUUUUUGUGAGUAAGUUAUUCUUCUUGCACUAAAUUAAAGUAAAUAGAAAUAAAGUAUUGCAAAAAUAAGAAAUAAUUUAUAAUAGAUAAUCAAGCAAUGCCUGCCAAGUACCAGUUACAACUCAUAUUAAGGACAACUUUCAAAAGACACCUAAUUGCUGAAGCCUAAUUAACAUUGCCUUAAAAAGAAGCCAAGACCCGAUAACUAAUGUCAGGAUAAAAAUUAGGCACAAUAGAUCGACAACUCCUUAAAGUUAUCUUCACUUUUCACUUAAACACUUCAUCUUAAGUAUGUUCCAUUUGAACACUUUAUCCAGGCUUUUACUGUAUCAUUUAGACACACAAAUUGAUAGGCAAUCAAACAAGAUGUGUAUAAUUCACAUGCCAGAGUGACGAAUAAAACGGGAACACGUGGAUUUAACUUAAAUAAAUGAAAAAAAACUUCUGAAAAAAUAAAGAAAAAAAUUACAAAAAAGCUCCGUUCUUCACACCGCACCAAAAGCCCUUUCUUCAUCGGCCGACACUGGCAUUUCUGGCAAAGUACCACCAGCAAAUUAUACCCGGUUAGCACAAAGAGAUUCAUGAGCCUACAUGGGCAACAACAACAAACAGCCGCACAUUUUACCGUCGUUCCAUCAGCAACCUCUGCGAACCGCACCCCUUCCGAACCCCACCUCGUGAUGACGAAGCUUGGCCCGAUAAAAGUGGUUGCCGCCGCCGUUCCACCGAAAGUGAUGACAGUCCACCGAUAAAAGUUAUGACGGCGAAAUCGUGGCUCAAUCCGGAGAUUUACCAUUAAAAAUUGGAAGAACUUGAAACGAAGAAUCGAAAUUUGAAACCUUCGAUUUGUUGAUGUUUUGGUUAAAUGAAUAUUGGGGUUUGCUCUUAACAUCAAUAUGAACUUACAUGGUGCAGAUCUAUGUUUGAAGCUAGUUGGAUUUGAAGCACCAUUGCCAACCGUUGAAGGAGCUGGGUCAAUUCAGAUCUAUGUUUUUCGAAUAUUUACAAAGUGGGUAUUGUUUUAUUUUGAUGGAGGAUUAAAUUUGGAACCCAUUUGAGGCUGAAUCGUUGAUGUCAUGAAGCUCAAUGGCCUAGAAACAGGAAAUGAUAUGGACAAUGCACCUUUUUUUUUAAUCUCUGCCUCCUUUUGAAUUGCUGAGGAACGCUUUUCCGGCAAAAAUUAUUUAUUUUCCGGCGAGAAGUAUGAGGCAUUUGUUUUUCGAAUCAUUUCACGCGCAUAAAAAAUGUGAGAAAUACUUACUUGCCAUGUAAGUUUUUUGUGUCUAAAUGACACGGUAAAAGUCUGGAUAAAAUGUUCAAAUGGAACAUAUUUAAAGAAAAAGUAUUUAAGUGAAAAGUGAGGACAACUUUAAGAGGUUGUCGAUGUAUUAAGCCUAAAAUUUAUUUAAAUCCAAUUUAGUCAUACAUAAAAAGUUAUCUAUUUGUAUGAGGAACUCAAUAAAAUUCACCUUCCAUGAACUAAAAGAAAAUGAAGGGAAAAAAAAGAGAAGUAUAGUAAUAGAGGAAAAAUUUAUCAGAAAAUGAAGUGAAAGAAAAGAAAAGUUAAAAGCAACAGAGGAAGAAAAAGAUUAUCAAGAACAUCAUGAAAGCAACAAACUGGCGACACAGUAAAUUAAUUAUCAAAGAACAUAAAAAAUAGCAAAAGCUAAAAAUAUGUAUAAACCUCAAGCAGCAAGAAAUAGACACUACUCAUUUUAUUCAAAUAGUAUAACAGAAAUAUGAUUGACUUGUAUAUUACCUGGGCCAAAUAAUGGAAAAAGGAAAAACUAAACAUAAACAUUUCACUUCAACGUUUUAGUUUUCAUUUCAAUAGUCAUUUUCCUACCCAUUUUGAAAUAUCCAUCACUGUUCCUCUUCAUCUCUUAAUUCUCUAUUAUUGUACUUCUAACCUACAUUCUCUUCUUUUUUCUUUUUCACUAUUCUAUCCCAUAAAUGUUUCAAUCAAGUAAAAGAUAAAUAAAUAAAUUUCAUAAAAAAUGUCAAAAAACUAACAUGUUACUAUAAUUUUAGAGACUUGUACUUCCCAAAAUAUCAACCUAGUCAUUUUACAUCAUAUUUGAGUUACAUAGCAGUAGUAAAUACGCACAAUUUCGUGAAUACUGUUGAACAAAUCUUUUCUUUUGAACUCGUAAAGGUCUUUUCUUUACCUGAGCAGACCCAAUAUUAAGAUCAGCCUUGUCCAUCUUCCAGAAGGAAAGCUCCAGUAUGAGAGCUUCUCCUUUUCUGCUAUGUACCGAUACAUUUAUUAGUUCGGGGUCAUGCAUCCAAAAUUACAUAGUCUAAAGAAAACAAAUAAUAAUUUGAGGGAUACUAAUUGGCCGUAUAAACAUCAAGAAAAGCGCCAAUUAGCAUUAGAACCAUUAGUUAACAAAAUCUCCACCACAAUUAUUGAAACCUCCAUUACAAACUUUUAGCCUUUAAUGCCAUAUUGCCUACGACAUUUUCAAAUUUAACACCUUAUGGUAAAGUUCCUCACUGAGAUUUUUUCUUGUUGAUCUUUCAUGUGCAGUUUCUCAAGUUAAAUCUUUCAAAUGCAAAAAUCAAAGAGUAAAUAAUAUACGUAUAUCAUUGUAUGUCAAGAAAGAGUAGAAGAUCUUGUUAAUGCUAUGUGAUUAAAGGGAACAUAUUUCCAUAACCUACAGAAAAGUCAAAGAAUAGUCUUUUUAAAGAAACCCAAAAAACAAGCAUCCAGUAAAAAUACAUACCAAAAAUGUCGAAUUCAACUCUCAAGUAAACAACACAGUUCUUCUAUUUAAGACAUUAUCAAACACCUUGGUUGCAUGAGAGAUCUUGUUUGUUUCUUCACCAUUUUUGUCCUAUAUGAAAAUUCAUUAUACCCAAAUCGUGUUUAAGCCUCUGCAGAAAAUUUUCCAACAAAGAUGUGCAAAUCAGACGUACACAAUGGAAGAAAUCACCAGAGAGAGUAGUGAAUAAGAGAUACCCGUCAAAUACCCAUUACCAACACAUGGGUGCAACUAACAAAGAAAGAGUGGAGAAAAAUUCUGCAAAACUUCGAACGAAAUAUAGCACACACUGUAAAAAAUUGGAGAAAUUUUAAAGGAAACUCAAAAAAUAAGGCUAGAAAGUGUAAAAAAAGAAACAAAAAUUGGAGAAAUUUGAAAGGAAACUCAAAAAAUAAGGCUAGAAAGUGUAACAAAAGAAUCAGAGUAUACAGAAUGCAAAUUUGGGAUGUGAAAGUGGAAUGCACAUAUAUUCAAAAGGGAACUAAUUAAUUAGGAUCAAAUUUAGAAGUAAACCCAAAUUCCAUCAGUAUGGUCUUGAAACUUAGGAAAUGAUAUUGAAAAAGAGAGAAAGAGCUAAGAGAAAGACACGAAAAGCUCAGUUAUAUUCACUCCUGGGCUUGGUUGGGAAAUCGAAAAGACAAUUCUAGACUGAAAGUAUAAAGAUAAUUUUACCCUUGGUCGACCACACUUGCCCCUUCUAUAUAAUAGAUAAUAGAAAAUAAAAUAAAAAGGGCAGCCUAGUGCACAAUGCAUCCCACGUUCACACCGUGCACAAGUCCACUUUUAUUAAUAAUAUAGAGCAAAAAACAAAACAGCAAACAUUAACAAACCAAGCCAAGAGUAGUUUAAGAUCUUCACAAUUCCAUCAGAUGUCCUACAAUUAAACACUCAAACUAAGGAAACCUCAAUCCAUCAAGCCUAAAAUAACUUAGUUCUCACUUUGGUUGCUCAUGUUACACACCAGAGAAGCUCCUGUGAUGAAAAAUACAAUCAAAGUGAGCUUUCUCAUAAAUCAAAUCAUUUAGAAGGAAAUCAAACAACAGUCAAGCUAAACAUCUAUGUCAACCCACAGAAAGCAAACAAAUCGAUUUGUACAGUAAUAUUCCAGUAAAGGGAAAGCUUGCUAUCACAAAAUCACGAUCCCUUGGCCAAUUUUUGUGCACUCAUGAGGCUUUUAGUCAACCAUAUUGCCGUCUCUCUAGAUGAAAUUACAUCAUCGCCAAAUGGUUUUAGCACACCAGCAAGCUCAUCAAUUUUUUCCUGCUUAAGUAGUCGUGCACAAACCUCUAAAAGGGAUUCCAGAGCUUCAGCUCUUUGUUGAGUGGGAUUUUCCCAGUCAUUUUUGUGCUCAGCUAAUGCAGCUAGCGCCUUAAGCAGUGAAACCCUAUCAUCUAGUGCUUGAAGAGCAUCUUUAUCGGUCUGUUUAGCAUCUUCAACCAUAUUUCCUUUCUUUUCUAUGUCAUCUUUAAGUGGGGUUGAACCAUUUCUUUCAGAAGCAUUGCAGUCAUCAUCAACUUCUUUGAACUCGCCAACGUUUUCAGUUUCAGAUGCAUGACACCUUAGUUCAGCAUCAGUAUCAGAUUUUGCAGGUUGCGUAGUCGAUGAAGUGCUCUCUUCGUCAAAGGACCGUGUUUUCUCAGUGGAGCUUCCACUAGACGAAAUCACUCUGCUCGGCUUUUCGGAGAUGCAAUCUAGUUCAUUCAGGUCUGCUUCUCCACUGCCACUUGGAGUGCUCAACACCUCAAGGUCUUUUGUUUUGUCACUCUCCCCGUCACCUUCUUCAAAUUGUUGAAAAUGCUCAACAGAAACUUGCUCAGUGUUUGCCAUGAAUCUUGAAGAUUCUGGCGUAUUUGUACUUCCUUCUUGCAAUAGAGAGUCGGAUAGACCGUCUCCGUUGCAAAUAGCUUCCUCACUAGUGUCCCAACAUUUAGAAUCCGCACCAUUUACAAAGAUCUUUGUUGAGUAGCUAGUGGGAUCAACUCUCUUAGUCUCGAGUUUGGCUUUAAAAGUGUCAUAGUUGUCUGAUAAAUUUCGUGGCCGAAUGUUGUCACUUUCAUCAAAGUAAAUAACGGGGACCUUCUCUUUUAGCCUUAGAGGUUUGUCACUUUCAUCAAAGUUAAAAACAGGAACCUUCUCUUUUAGCCUUAGAGGUCUGUCUUUUAUGAAUCUAGGACUGCCAGAUUUUCCAGGUGAUUGCUUUGUUUUUUCCUUUGGGCUGUUUGGGGACUUCACUGGAAGAAAAGCAGAUGAAGGGUUGCGGCAGCGAAGGAGGUAUGGUUGCAAAUGUUGAUGCCUUAACAACUCCGCAGUCUAAAAGUGAACAUAAAAAAAAAAAAAAUCAGAAAGAAUGAUGAUUUCAGAUUGAAUUGCAUUGAAUAUAUGCAGCUAGCACUCACUGUUGGUCUGUGUUCAGGGCUUUUCCUUAGCAUGCUUUUAAUAAUCUGUUUCCUGUAAGGAUUAAUCCAUUUUGUCAGUUUGAUGAUUAGCUGUAUUUUUGUGGUUAGAAUAACAAUCACAAGUGCUAGUAGUAGGAAAUAGGAACCACUUCUUAACAAUGGUUGGAAGCUACUUACAAGUUGGAGGAGUAUAUAAUUGGAAGUGGCGAUAAAGUACCCCUGUUUAUUUUAUUGAUAAGUCCAGUCAUGUCCUGCAGAAUAAAAAAAAUUCAAUAUACCGCACAAAUAUAUUAAGGUAAUGAAUGUAUUAUGACGUCCACAGGUAGCUAAGGUCAACUUACUGGAGCUCUAAAUGGUGCUUGGUGUGCGGCAAUCUCAAACAUGCAGCAUCCUACAAUCACAUCAAACUUUUAUUCCAAUAUUAAGGAAAUAAUACAAAAGGAAAUACAUUGCUUCCCCCAAUUCUCUUACCAAGAGACCAUAUGUCGGAUUUGUAGCCAUAUGGUAUAUCAGCAAGGAGCUCAGGGCACAUAUAGUUUGGAGUACCAACAACCUGUUUGGAUGGAACAAGUCACUAAUAGAGCUUGUUGGCAGAGUAAGAAGUCAUAGCAUGUUCCUCAAACAAAUGAAGACGGGGUUGUUUGUAAUUGACAACUGCCGUAAUAUAAAAUUCACUACAAGAUGGCAUACUAUAUUAUAACUAAAAAGAACACCUGGUUUUCCCAACCUUGGAGGGGGAUGGGGUACCCUCUAUCUAGUAACUACUUAAACAUAUUGAAUCAUUUGUGUAGGUGAUCAUAGUUCGUUGCUAAUAAGCAGGAGCUGAUUUUUCCACUACAGUUGUAUGAAUAUAAAGAGAAAUCAUACUGAGGAAGCAAGGCCUUCUCCAUCUAGAAGUUUUGCUAAUCCAAAAUCACCUGCAUAAAUAAAGUGAAAACAAAUUUGAUCACACAUAACAGAGAAGCAAGGAGGUAAUGAAACACUUGGCUGUCAUUCUUACCUAGCCGGAUGUCAUUGUCCUUUGUGAUAAAAAUGUUAGAUAACUGAAAUCGAAGUAGUUCAUGUUAAAACAUGUCAUACUAGGAAAGCUCAUAAACAGAUCAGGUCCUGUUUAUACCUUCACGUCUCUGUGUAGAACACGGUUGGAAUGCAGAUAAUCCACCGCCAGUAAUAGCUGAGUCAGCCAUUUGCAGAGUUUCUGCGGAGGAAAAAGAUUGUGAGCACAUAACUUUAAGUGAAACAUGCUAGUACAGAGAACCCAUUAUGAUGGAAGUUGUAUCUAAACUACCUCUUCUGGGAAGAGAGCUCCUCUUGACUUCCUUAUGAUCUUUGCCCUGAUCACCCAAAAAAAGUCAGAGUGCUCGUAUCAGACGAUAAAACAUUCCUAUGAUCAUCUUAUUGCUUUCGCUCUUUUUAUUUAGGAAGAGGUGUCUAAAGAUUCUUCAUAUACUUGCAUCAAAGGCUAGUUCACCUCUAUAAAUAUGUUUCAACCAUCUUUUGAAAGAAACGUAUAAGUGCAAAUAAGGAAAUCGUCUAAAAAUGCUAGCAGGUUAGGAUAACCACUCACAUAUCUCCACCUUCACAAUAGUUGGUAACGAUGCAUAUAGAGUUCCCCUGAAAGAAAAACAAAGUCAAGCCUUUUCUGAGCCAACUCGAUGUGGAAAUUUUUUCAAAUGAAGGAUAGUUAUUGCAGUUUCAAAUCCUCUGCUAGAACUGAAUAACAUAAUAUACCUUGUCGACCCAAGCAUCCUUGUACUCCACAAUAUAUGGAUGGCUUAGCUUAGCUAUCAGAUUCAUCUGCCAUAGAACGAAACAUACAAGCAUAUAAUCAGAUAACAUAAUAUUAUACAAACAUCUCAACGUUGUUAAAAUCGUCCCAUUUUAAGUGGCCUAAUUUGACGAGAAUACUAAAUUAAUAAGAUAAGUUGAAUGUGUGCAGGUUCAAAGGUAAGAUUUUUUUUUAUCGGUAAAGGUAAGAAAAAAGUUUAACUCUUCAAUUACUUAACUUUUCUUGACUACAAUGACUAUUUUUCUUCUAAAAGUAAAAAGGCAUCGUCGGUACACUAUCUAUUCGUUACCAUAAACUCAAUAGUAUCAAAGGCUGCAACAGAAGGCUUGCUUAUAUAGGUCAACCCAACUUUGACAGGAUAAUGGCCACAUAAUUAGAGCAAAGGGAAUAUUUUUUUGCGAGACCUUCUGGCUUAUAAAGUUCUUCACAAGAACAUUUUAGGAGUAGGCACCAAAUUUUAUAAGUAUGAAAAUGUGCUCCACGUCCUAAAAGAAAGCGAUUGUAGCAUUUACUAAUAUCCAGAAGUAGCAAAAUUUACAUAUAAUUUUCCAACCUAAGAAUUUCCUUCAACUAAGGUCUGAAAUUGCUAACCUUUGCUAUGAGAUUUUGGUUUGGAUGGUCACACUCACAAUAGUUUUCUACUUUUCUUCUCUACCAAAAAUUAUGGAAAAUAUCUGCUUCUAAUAUCGCUGAAGAUCUUCUCCAAUCUGCUUAACCAUAUGGUCUAACUAAUCAUGAUUCAAUUACUAAGGAAGACUGCUCAAAUAAGAAAGGGGUUUGAAGAGUAAGACUGCCCCUUCAAAUGUACAAGAGUAAAAUAGUGAAAUGACACAUCUGUGGUAUGAGAAUGAUGACCAAUGCCAUAGCAUUUGUUCAAAAUUCCGUAAUUACUUCUUGGUUAAGCUAUAGAAUAUGUGCUCUUAUUUUUGUACGCCCAAAUUAACAAAGUUCUACUGUUGAAGAAAAUUUUGCCUUUUAUUAUGAACCGAACUUGUCUUAGUGACAUCCAUGACCAAAGACCAAUUCAAAAUGGAUGAUUAAGGAAAUGCUUAGCUUAAAUAUUUGGAAUAUCUAUCUCAUAGUAGAAAGCAAAUGCAGCAUUUGGAAAAAAAUUAGGUUUGAGGACUGUAAGGCAAGGACAUUGACGGCUGACAAGGAAAGACGUGCACAAGAAUCUAAGACAACUGAUUUAUUGGCGUCAAUUAGACCCUCAAGAUAUUGGAAACGAAACACAAACUAUCGAUGAUAGAUACCACUUCUGAGUCUUUAUGAUGGAACACUUUUGUAUAGUAUAGGUUCUUGAGCCGAGGGUCUUUCGAGGUAGGGGUAAGGGCUACGUACACUUUACCCUCCUGAGACACCACUAGUUGGAUUUCACUGGGUUUGUUGUUGUUAUUGUUGUUGUUGUUGUACUUUUGUAUAGUAUAGCUUUCCAAUAUCAAAUCUAAAAGGAUCAUUAAAACAGGCAACCUAACAUUAGGUUGCUCAAUUUAAGCAUUGAAUCAUGUACUUAUGCAUUCAAUAGUGAGCUGAAGGCUUCUGAUCAACCAACCUCAAAAUUAGGCAAUCUAGCCUCAGAAUGAAGAAAAGAUUGACUACCGUUUGAUUGUAAAAGCCAUACAAAAGAAAACAAUAUAAAGAAGCAUUUAAAAUGACCUCUUGAUGUGCAGUACGCUUGAACUUCUCUGACUGCUUUGCUAAAGGUAUCUUCUUCAGAACAUAUCUAAAAGGAAAAUAAUGAUAGUGAUAUCAAUAGUCCAUUCAAAACAGUCUUCAACAAUUAUUACCAGUCUCAAUAAUUUGAAUAUUCUACACAAGGGAUUCAGUACUACAUAGAACAUGUAGCUCAAUCAGAAUACGGGUAAUUUACAGUUGUAUAAUUAUGUUUUCAUAAUUAAAGCCAACUACACAGUCCAUAAAAGCCAACAUAAAUUCUCACUUUAAAACUGCAAAUGCAGCUAAAUAUUAAUUAUUGGUUUCUGUCUAUGAGUACCUUGUUGCCAGUAUAAAUCACUUCAUCUUGAAUUUCUUUGUUUUCUGUUACAUUAUGAACACUGAAAGACUAGAAUAUUAAAAGAAGAUAAGAUCUACAACAGCACAUAACAAGUUUCCUUUACAUGCUUUAAGUAGAUAGAAACACUCCAUCAAGACAAUUAUUUUUUGUAUUCUUGAUGACCGAGAAAUCCGUCUAGGUCCAACCCUAAGGACCUAAGGACGAAACACAGCCUUCGAAACUCGGAGAUAAUGGGCCCACGCCUCAACAUUUUUACUACUAUUAAACACCAGGAUUAGUUCGCAUGCCACAGGGCUCGAACCUUUGCCACUUGAAUUAAGCCCCCGGGGCCACUCCAUCAAGACAUUUUUUUAUUAAGAAAGAAGCAUAAUACAAUUAGUUCUUGAAAUUGAUAAAAAGUGAGUAUCCAUCUCAAACAAGCUACAUAUUAGAAGUUUGCUCCUCGGAAUCCCAGCAAAUGCAUUAUUACCAUAAACAAGUUUUGCAAAUACCAACACAAAGCACUAUCCCUCAAAAAAAUAGUAGUAGUAACUAAGUAUAUAAAUUCUGAGAAAUGCUUUUUUUCAAAACGCCUAAAGAAGCAAAAAUCUAUGAAAUCUAAAACCACAUAUCUCCCUUACCCCAAAAUUGAAAAGACAAGAAAAGGUUGGCUAACCAGGAAGCAUUACUUCCAAUAAACCAGAAACAUAGGAAAAAUUAAAUUUGCUUACUUCUUCUGCUCAGUUAUAUGAAGAACAAGAAAUGCUGCACCAAAAGCUCCUCUUCCAAUUUGCUCUAUCACUUCAUAAUCAUCUAUCUUUGACUUGCUACCAUUUUGUGUCUCCAUUCUACCCUCAAACUCAAAAGGGUCAACGAAAAUACAAACAAAGAUUCAAGCUUUUUUGCUAAUUGAACUGGUUCUUGAACUCACCCAACUCAAACCUGAGACAAAAUAUUUCAGGGUCAACACUAGAAAUUCCUUUCAGAGAUGCAAGUAAAAGCAAAAGGCAAAUCUUUGGUCUUGCACCCUUAAGCAGAAAUUAAGGAAAAGAUGACAUUCAAAGUUGGGUUCUUUGAAAUAAUGAAAGGCUGUUUAGGAAUGGAAUUUGCAUAAAAGCUACACAAGGCUAUAAUGAUGUCAAGCUGCAACAACUAUGUGUACGUGUGUGUGUGAGAGAGAAAGACAAGAAAGAGGGCCCACGGAGCAGAAAGAGGAAGGAGGGUUGGUUGGGCCUUAAGAUUUUAGGAAGACAACAAAUUUCAACUAGUGUAACAAUGGAUUCACAAUUUUGGAGGAAAAGUCAAUGAACAUAUUACUACUAUUGGUUUACCACUUCUUCUUUAUUUUUUUAAAAUCAAAAUACCUCCUCCUUCCCAUUUUACACUAGACUCUUUUCUUUUUCUCAAUAUCUCAAAAUAUUUAACAACAAUUUAUUUAAAUAAUUUUAGAACUUUAGAUAAUUUAAAAUUAUUAAAUCAUUCAAAUUUAAAUUUGAUAUGAUGCUUUUUCUUAACUAGAUUUUUUAAUAUUAUAUUAUAUUAAUAUCGUAAACUUCAUACUCAUUCAAAUAUUUUUGCAUAAAUGGAAUACAAGAAUAAUAUAUUGUGAAAAAAUUAUAUCCAAGUUGAUCAAUUUUUAAACCUAAAUUAGAUAUGAAAUUAAAAAAAUCAAAAAUUUUAAUAUCUACAAAUUAUAUAAAAAUAUUAUUAUGAGUUGUUAUCUUUAAUAAAACUAGAAUUUGUCUUGCUAAGUCAGACAAAAUAAUUAUAUAUUCUCCAAAGGAAGUUGGUACAAUAUAAUACUUUUGAAUUUAAUUAUUUGCUUGCCUCAUUUCGACAAUAAUUGCAUAAAACCUGUUUGUAAUAUCCACUCCACAAACAUAUAUGCUAGUACUCAAUUUCUUUUAGUUGUAAAUUUGAUGAAGUAAGAGAAGGAAUAUAUAACAAAAGAGGGGUCAGGAAAGUAAAAAGAAGCACAUAUGAGUAGUGAAUUUUCCUGAUGGCAAAGCAGGAAGAUAAGUCUAAUAAAUUCCUUAGUCUCUCUUAUAAAUUCCUUUGUCUCAACAUUAAUAGUCAGUGUUUUGACUAAUGACUAGGAAAAGAAUUUAGCCUAGUCACACACGAGUGGUCUUAUCGCACCAUGUUGGUUUCAUCAUAUCAUGAUAGUGUAAAAUAAAAUAAAAUAAAGUAAAGAGAGAGAGCCAUAGUUCUAAAGCUACAUUAGACUAGUAAAUUACUACAUUAACAAGAUAAUGGAGAAUAGAAAAUGGGCUACAUGUGUGUAUUAUAAAAAGGGGGAAAAGAAGAGCAAGUUUUGGGUGACAGGUGUGGAAGAGCCAACCAAAAGAAGUGAGGGACCAAAGAACUUUGCUUGCAAUUCCAGAAUCAAUAAAAGGGUGUGGGAAUAGACCAUUUCACACACAAGGGAGAAAAUUAAACACCUUCUAAUUGGGGCACAGCCAUGAUGUCACUAUCCUCAACUACAUGAUUUUCUAAAUUAUCUUAAUAACAGUCUGUUCACGCCAAUAUUAUUUUCAAAUACACACGAAAGUAUAUAUGAUUAACAAGUACUACAGUAACUUAAAGUAUAUCGAACUCAUAGAGACAUAUGUUAAUUACUCACUAAUUCAACUAAAACUUUUUUUAUCUAAUUGAGUUCACCAAAUUGAGAAUUUUGUUAUUAAUCUUCUAUUGCAAAAAUUAAACAAGUAAUAAAACUGCAAAAGUGAAAGAUUAUUGUUAAGAGUUGAAUUAAUAUUCCAGCGUUGUGGCCGGUUCACCAUCCCUAUUGAGUUCUGAUUAUUCAUCCUUAAUCCAAAUUACCGAUGGUUGCUAAUUAAUCGAAUUAAAAUUAGUCACAGUAUUCUCUCAAAUUACUACUCGCCUACUCAGAAUAUUCCUAUGAAAUUAAUAGAUUAAAAAUGCAUUGAGAUCAUGGCAUGUAAUUAAGCGAGGUGACUAGGUAUAUUUCUGUUCUAACACAAAUCUGCACUCUAAUCAUACGACUAAGAUCAUGCUCUCUUUAGCUCUUCUCUAAUUUAAGAACGACUGUCACGACCCGAAAAUCCCAUCCUCGUAACCGUGACGGCGCCUAACAUUUCACCUGCUAGGCAAGCCAACGUUAGAAUAGUUUAUCCAUUUUCUUAUAUAGAUCAAGUUAAAUAAUAAGAAAGAAAUCGAAAUAACUGAAAUAAAUUAUGAAAUAAAGUGCAGAAAAUCAUAACAACUGAAAUAUCUAAUACAACCCCGAAUCUGGUGUUACAAGUGCACGAGCU
RNAcentral lists this long non-coding RNA (48766 nucleotides) under Nicotiana tabacum (common tobacco). RNAcentral's name for it is "long non-coding RNA (NTAB_LNC017249)". The record is from RNAcentral. Lineage: Eukaryota; Viridiplantae; Streptophyta; Magnoliopsida; Solanales; Solanaceae.